CGUAGUGUCCUGGAUCAGCUGAGACGUUAACAUGGCUGGUGAAGUCCAUCACUUCUAGUUUUUCGUCAACUAAGUGCUUGCCUGCAGCUUCCACGGCUAGUUGCAAAUCUUUCUCAGUGUUCUUGUCUAUGUUAAUGCUCAGCAAAAGGUUCCUUCUGCAGACAAACUGGAGUUCUGGAGUGCCAUUUUGGAAUCCUUUUAUCUUGACAACAUCACCUAGUCUGUAACGAUAUAAACCUGCAUAUAUAAACACAUAACUCUCGUCAAUUAUACUAUCAGGACAUAUAGCAAAACUCGUAUUUGACGCAAUAGAUAGACCGAUAGGUAGUUAUUUUGAAUAAAUCUGUUAAGUGUAGUAGACGUGGAACAACUAGACAGAAAAAAUGAAUAUCAAAAGGGUAAUGAAUAUCAAGCACAUGCAAGUAUUGCAGAAUAUAUGAGCACAACAGAAUAUGGACAAAAAAUAUGUUAAUUCCAAAAUAAGGAAUAAAAAAAAUGAUAAAUAUUUUCUAUCUAAGCAGAACUUAGUAUUUGAUGCCAGGCAGGCAUAUGUAAGUAAUCAUAUUUCCUGCAAUAUUGCCAUAAAGAACGAAUACUAAACUCCACAAGUCUAAGCUGAGAGGAAUCGACUCAGUCAGCUGAAUUACAUGAAGUCACAAAGAUUAGUGCAGAACUCGUUAACCAUGAAAAAUAAUUGAAUAAUAAGACUGUGUUCCUAUAAAUGAUCAACAAGCAUAGAAUUUUCAAGAAAAGACGUGCAAGAAAACUGUACCUGCGAAAUUGGUGAAGACAAUUUCAUACUCUUCACCAAGUUUAACUUCAGUCAGGCCGACUAAAGAAUUUGCUUGCUCCACGCCAAUGAGAUUUUCCUCGAGUGGAAGAAAUUCAAAAUAGCCAAUAUUUGGUAACACUGCAUAAGUAACCAUCUCAGGGGGGCAUUUCGGGUUAACAUUUACUCCGACCCAUCCUUCAGAAGAACCAUAAUCUGCACUCAAUAGAGGUAAUUCUCCUGCAUAGUGCCUCAGUUUCUUCAAGUAAGGCUCCAUCGAACCUGUCAUGAUACCAUAAAUGUACUUUGUAUUCGGGAAGAGUUCAGGGAUCAAGCCGUACCAAUUGCUUAAACUUGAGCAUUUGCUAUAAAUUGUUUCAGCCAAUUCUGGAUCAGGCUUCAACAAUUUUGACAUGGCUAAUCUUAUGGAUGGUACAGUGACUCGGCUCGAUAAGACUCCCUCCCUUAUGUCAACAACAAGUUCUUCCCAUACUUGUUCGAAAGUUCGAAAAGCAUGUACAAUGCUAUGUGCAAACGUAGACGAAACAACUUGAACUUCAUCGCGGAAAAUGAGACCAGACAGAAGGUGACAAUAUAAGGAUUGUUGAAAAUCAGGACCAAAUAUCACUUCAUCAGGACUACAAACUGGGGUAGACAUUGCCUUCAUUGUCUUCUUGAAUUGUGCAUUUCUAUACACAUUGGUAGUGGCUGUUCCAGCUGCCAAACCACCUUUAGUUUUAAACUGCUUGCUGCUGUAAAUAAACUGCAAAGCCUUUCCAUUCCCAAUGGGAAAUUCUCUGAAAGAAUAAAACAUAGGCUAUAUGAUGUAUUUGUGACAAAAAAAAACUUCAUGAACCAACAAGCAAAUUACCUGUUCCUAAAGGCAAAAGAAGUCUUGAAUGUCUGCAUAGUGGAAUUCAUCAAUUCAUCAUUGAAAGGUACAAACUUUGGCUUCCCUUGAGUAGUACCAGAACUGCUAAUUAACCAUUAUAUUUCCUCUUUAAACAUACAACAAUAUACGGCUCACAAGUUGGGUCUGAAAAACAGAAGAGAAACUUUUUUGCUUACCUCAAGGAGAUGGCUUGAAUGGGCUUUCCAGUAAGAAUAGGUGAAAGAUCACCAUCAGCAAUUCUUUGAAUGUAAGGAUCCAAAUCACUGUGACUGACAAUGGGGACACAAGCCUUGAAAGUCUCAACAUCAGUUCUGUCAUUCAGACCCCAUUGCUUCAAAUACUCUGUUCCCCCAUUUUCUUUCAGAAUUUUCUCAAGUGUCUCUUGUUGAAUCCUCCCAGCAUCUUUUGUCAUCACCUCAAAAUCCUCAAUCACUUCUUCUGGAUCAAAUAUCUUCUCAAUAUUUUCCAUCAUCUUCACAAUAAAGACUUCAACUUUAAGCAAUAGCAGACAAGUAAAAGCAGUCAAGAAUCCUCAAUUUGAGAGAUGGGGUUGGGGGGUUAAGAAGAAUUUAAGCAACUCCAUAGUUAUUACUAACUUCAAUGCAACUUACCUCAUAAAAAGAAUUGACAGAAAUAAAGGAAACAUGUUUGUAACAGAUAAUCAUACCCAUUAUCUUCGUUUUAUUCUUAAGUUACAAAGAUGAAUCUAGAUAUUGAAAGUACCGAGAUAAUUGUUAUUUUAAUGCAGGCGUUUCAAUUUUUUUCUUCAACUACUAUAGACACGUCAAUUAUUUACACAAAGUUUGAUACAUAAUUCUAUGAAAAAAUUGGGUUGUAACUACUAAAUUUGAUUGUGUUUGACUUUUGGAGACUAAAAUCUUCUGAUUUUUUUCACUCAUUUGGUUUGAAGAAUAUAAGAACUUCACAAAUAAAUCAGACUAUGCAUUGGUUUGAAAAAUAUAGAAACUUCACCAAUUUGUUUAAUACUUUAUUUGAAUGAAUAUUUUGACUUGAAGAGAACUAAAUCUUCGUAGGAUAUUAAGGCUAAAUGAUUUGAGAAAGAUAAAAUCUUCAUGUUAGCUAGAAACAAUGUUAAUUGAGAUUUCUGGAGAUCAAAACCUUUUUGGUUAACUAUUCUGUCUGAAUGUAAAACUGAUAUAUAAAUUUCAUCAAAAUUCAAGAUUCAUUCGGUUAACAAUUAGAAAAAUAUAAAAACUUUAUUGUUAAAUUAGAAACAAGGUUUAUAAAGAUUGAAUUUUUAUUGUUAGUAUUCUAAAUACUAUGUGGUAUGUCUAGUUGUGACAGAAAGGGAAAAAAACACUAGUAACAUAAAAUUAGUGAUUUUUGUGCCUGCAAUGGGUGUUUCUAUGGAUUAAAUCUCCAAAAGAAGGUUUCGUGUUGUCAAUGUGUAUUUUGAUGAUAUACAAGUUCCAAGCAUGGAAAUAAAAUAUGUGAAAAAUAAUUUUAAUUACUUGAAAAAUAUUUUUGAAAACAUAUUUAAAAUGUGCGGGUUCUUUACUUGUGAUAAAGACAAUUUGGAGUAUAUUUGAUACUGUGGUUGUUGAGCAAUUUUGGGGUGGAAGCGAUUAUUGUAAGAGAGAGGGUGGGAAGAAGUUGGAUUAUUUAUUUAUGAGGGAAAACCCUCUAUUUAUACACAAAAAUUACACGCUUUUGGCCAAAAUGGCCGACACUCCUACUUUACACCUUGACUUUUUAUAUUCGGCCGACACAAGAAAACAAAAUACUUACUAUUACUACUUUACAUAAUGGCCUCUUCUUUAUUUCUGGCCGACACACACACACUAUUUACUUUACGACUAACACAAGAAAACAAAAUACUUUUUACAUGAUUGGCCUUUUAUGGCCGACACACUAAUUAUCUAUUUUACGAUUUUUACAGAAAAUCUUAUCUUCGAUAUCUUGCUUCUUCCAUCUUUACUCUAAUUGUACAUCUGGUACGUAAUUAUCUUCUCUUUCACAUUUUGAACAUAAAUGAUCAGGAUAUUUUUGCCCUAUCAACUUGCAGUAUCUUGUCAUCAGAUUAGGAGAAAUAAAGUUUUUCCUUAUAGCUCUUGUUGUUGGUGUAGCUUCUGGCCUUAAUAGACUUAGUAUCCAUUGUCUUAGUUAUUCCACGUCUGCUGAUCAUAUAUCUUUGCAAUUUGAAUAGAUUAUUGUUUGAUCUCGGUUGUAGUAUGUCCAUAUGGCAUUUUCAUUUAGAUAAUUGUUUGUUAUCUCGUUCAAUAUAGUAGCUAUUCCGAUAGUUCUUUUAUUUGCAUAGAAUUCCGGAAUAUCUACUCUUUGUAUUUCUUCCUGGGUGUCUAUCUUUUCAGGGAUUAUCAUUUCCCUAGUCAGCCCGAUUUUUAUAACUUGUAUUGUAGGUUUGACUUCGUCAUACAAUAUCUCUGCCGUAGCUGCGUAGAACUUUAUUUAAAAAAGAGUACCUUUGGUUACUCUUUUAUACUGUAAAAAAGCUUUAUAUAGUUCUGGUAUCUUGGAUAUCUCGUCUCCUGUUAUCGUAUAUACGGUACUUAACAGUCCAUAGUUGUAGCAAGUUGCUACUAAGUUUGGAUUAGUUCCUGGUUGUGCAUUUAAUUUAGUAUAUCAUUGUAAAUGCUGGGUUAUGUAGUCUUCAUCGGGUUUUUUCGUAUUUUUAGCUUUAGGGUUCUGGUUGAGAAAAGUCUGUACUUUGUAUAUAUUUUCUAUAUAUGUUCUGGAGAUAUAAUUGUAUGUUUGUUUUUGGGAAUCUAACUGGCUUUGUAGGUAUUUGUUUGUGGGGUGACAGACAUAUCUUUUUGGGUACUUUGAGGAGUAUAUGGUUUUGAUAAUAACUUAUUCAAGUUUGUAUUUGUGUAUUUUACCUUAGUCUCCUCCUUUUUCGUAGGUUGUCCUGAUGUAGAUGUGCUGGUUGUAGCUGCAUUUGAACAAACGUUGUUAUGGGUUUUUUGGAGUUUCCCAACAUCUCCUUGUAGUUCCGCAUGUUUAUAGUCAUGCUGCUGACUUAGCUCCGCAUAUUUUGAGUCAUGCUGCUGACUAUUCGCUUUUUCUUUCAGACUUUGUACUUCCAUUUCUAUCUUUUCCAUCUUUUGGCAUAGAUUUGUCAUCAUGGCCAAUAUAUCUUUUAGUGUAUCUUUCUCUUGAGAGAUAGUCUGCAAUGAGAUUCUCGUCAGUUUUAAUUAUCUCAAUUGUAAAUAUAAAAUUCAAUAUAUUUAAUACUAAUCUUCUUAUUUCUUUUGUUGUAACUGAAUCAUCUACCUUUUUAGUUAUCAACCAUUUUACCUGUGUGUUAUCUGUUCUUACGAUAAAUUUAUUGUAAACAAUAUAUUGUUCGAAUGCUAAUAAACAUCUAAUAAUGCAAAUAAUUUCUUUCUAUUUAUCUCCCAUUUCGUUUGUGCUUCAGUAUAUGUUCCUGAGUAAUACCUGCAAUGAUGUUCUAUCUUUUCUUUGUUAUAUUUAUAUUUUAGUACUCCUCCGUAACUGUGAUCACUUGAAUCUGUUUCAACUAUAUAUGUAAAUGCUUUACUUUCAUCAGGAAAGUAUAGUUUUGGUAAUUUUUUACAUAAUUUUUUAAUAUUUUUUUUAUGUGUUCUUUAUCUUUUUCGUCAAAAUAGUAUUCAACAUCCUUUUUAAGUUUUUUAUGUAGUGGUUUUAAAUGUUCUGCUAAUUUUGGUAUAUAUUCUCUUACUUGAUUUACUAAUCCUAGAAAUGAUUGUAAUUUCUUGGUUUAUUUUUUGACUACCUUUUAUCCAUUUCAUAGAUUUUCGUUGUUUAUUUUUUACUCUUUUUGCUCCUAUUUUAUAGCCACAUGGCGUAGUAAGCCACCAGUGUGUUUUUGUUAUUAUAUGUGGGUAAAAUAUUUCUAGAAAUGGCAUUCCUAGCAACAUAUCUUUUGUUGUGAACUCAAAAUUAUAGAUUUAUUCUAUUAUUAAUAUUUUAUCCCAUAUUUGUAUUUUUAUAUUUUUUUGCUUUAUAUUUAAUCAUACUUCCUUCAUUAUUAAAUCUUGUUACUACUAUUGGUGUUUUUAAUUUUUCCCAUUUAUCUUCUGGUAAACAAUUAUGUUUACAUAUAUUUGCUUCUGCUCCUGUAUCUAUCAUAGGGGUAUAAUAUCUGUUGUGAUAUCCUUCUAUGAUAAUUUUUGCGAGUAUAUAUAUUUUCAUUAUUCAUUUUGUUCUUUUUAUGAUUAUUUUCUUAUUUUGACAUGUUAUUGUUAAUUGUUCGUUUUCUAUAUUAUAUGGUUUAACUUUCUCUAGUCAUUUUAUUCCUAACGUGAUAUUAUGGUUUCCUUGGUAUAUCUUAAAUUGUAUUUUUAAUGGAAUUCCUCCUAUAAUUAUUUCUUUUUCUGUUGUUUCUUCAUAUGUAUUUACUAUUUCACUAGUUAAUCCAGGGCAUAUGUGUCCUGUUUUUUUAAUUUCUUCUUCUAAUACUAACUCUCUUGUUAUAUGAUUUUCUUCUUGUCCUGUGUUUAUCAAGAUUUUAUAUUUUCUUUGGUCCAUUGUUCCCGUUAUAAAAUAAUGAUAUGGCGUCGUUUCUUCUAAUAAAAUUUGUGGUAUUUCAUAUUUUCUUUUAGAUGUACUCAUCCUUGAUGAGGUAGCUCUAGUCAACAUAUUUAAUGUGCUUGUAUUUGGUGUACUUGAGGUGCUUAAUCUUUCGUUUACUAUUUCCAAAUCUCCUUCUAUAUCAAUUUCUUUAUAGCUAUAGUCAUUAUUAUCUAUUACAGUAAUUAUUUUUUCAAAAGAAUUUUCUAUUUUUAUCUUAUCAAUUUUAUUUCUUGCUGUUAUUUUAUGUUUUGCUGUUAAUAUAUAUAGAUUUUUACAUCUUGCUGUGAAUACCUUACUUCCUGGUGUUAACUCUAUUCCUGACAUUUUCAAAUAUAAUACUAAUGAUUUAUCUAUAUUUGUAUCUGUUAAUGCUACUGUAUAAUUAGCACUUAUUAUAAAUUUAAAUUUUUGGUAUAUUAAAUUUCCUUUAACUGCACUUAUAACACUUUUUUCUAUAGGGUGUAUUAUUCUGUCAUUUGCUAAAUAUAUUUCAAUGGGUGUAUCUAUUCCUUCUCUGAAACAAGCUUUUAUUAGUAUUUCUGUUCCUCCUAAAUGUACAUAUUUUAUAGCUGCUUUAUUUUUUAUGUCUUGUAUUUCUUUAUUUAUUAUUCGUUUGCUUAUUAUAGGUAUAUAUGCUUUUUCGCUUGUAUAUUUACAGUCUAUGACGUGUUCUUUUUGACUAACUACAUAGUAUUCUUCUUUUUGUCUUUUAAACCAGUUUUUUAAUGUAGGUAUUUCAAGUAUCUUUUCAACACUUAAAUCUAAUUCUUUCCCUUUUAUUUGUUCAAAAACUGUAUUAUCAAAUAUAAUCUUUUGGUGUGAUAAUUCUUCAAUUUCAUAAUUUUCUUUAGAUAUUAUUUCGUUUUCAGACAUUAUAUUUCUUCUUCUAUUUUAUUAUCUAAAUUUUCUUCUUCAUUUUCAGUUUCUAUAUCUGAUACUUCAUAUAUGUUGUCGUUAUCACUUAAUUCAUAGUCUAUGUAUUCUAUUUGCAUAUAUUUUUCAUUGUCUAUGAUUAAUUCUGCUAUUUGUUUUCUUUUUGGAUCUUUUGGUAAUUUACAAUCCUUAGCUAUGUGUCCUAUCUUUCCGCCAUUGUAACAAGUACAUUGGGAUAUUUUCCUCUUUGGUUUAUAUGGUCUUUUUAUUUUAUAAUUUUUUAUAUAAUACCUUCGUCUUGGUUGUUUAUAUUUAUACUUUAGUUUUAUUUUUUCUAUAAUUUUUAUAUCUUUUGGAUUUUUGUUUUUUAUUUGUACAUCCAAAUUGUGGUGCCAUUCUAUUUUUGCAACAUGCUAAAUUUUUAUUUAGUACUUUUUCCAUUUUUAAUUUUUCUUUUUGGCUUUCACAUAAUUGUGUAAACCAUUGAGAUAGGAAUUUUAUUCUAGCUCCUAAGGUAUCUACUAAUCCUUCAUCAUUCCAAUCUUUUAUUACUUUUGUACUAAAUGGCUCUGGUAAUUUCGUAAAAUAUUAUUUUCUUAUUUCUUUUGCUUCAUCAAAAUUGUAUUUUGCUUCGUAAUAAUAUUCUCUAAAUGCACAAGUGUAUUCUUCUAUAUAACACAUUUUACAUAUAGCUAAUUUUGUCAUAAGUUGUUUAUUUAUUAUUUUUUCUCUGUUUUGUUCUCUUAUAUCUGUAGUCAUACCUCCAAAUUCAUUUCUUAUUGGUGAUUCAUAUUUAUCUAGUAUAUCUAUAUUUGUUGCUGAUGGAGAUCCAUCUAUUUUCUUGUCACUUCUAAGUACUUCUAAACUUUCUGAAGGUAGAUUUUCUAUCCAUAAUCUUGUUGUUCCUACGAAUGUUCUUUCUAUGUAUCUAGGUGUUUUUGUUGUUUCUAUUUUGUUAUCUAUUAGUUGCUUAGAUAUAUUUCAUAUCCACAUUAAUAUUGCUUUAUUUAUGUCUGUAACACAAUCUAGAUCUAAAAAAUUAUAUUGUUCAUUUAUUGGUUUUGGUGUCCAAUUCUUAUUUAAUCUACUGUUCCAUAUUAUGUUAGUUCUAUCUGAUUGCUGAUAACUUUCUGUAUAAUAAGUUGGUGGUGUCCAUCUAGGACUGCUCUAGGACUAUUUUUGGGACUACUAUCUAGGGUUUUGACUCUUGACAUACUGGGUCUAUUCAUAUCUCCUGUGUUUAUUUCUAAUUUUUUUAGUUUAUUUACCUGUUCUAAAAUUUCUGUAUACGUCUCACUUAUGUCAACUAUUUCUGAUUUUUGGUCAUUUUCAUUUUCAUCUAUUUCAUUUACUUCAUUUACCUCAAGAUCUUCAUUUAAUUUUUGUUCCAUUUUGUUUAUUUUAUUUGUUAAUUCUUUUUCUUUUUCUAUCUGUUUUUCUUUUUGCUUAUUUUCAUAUAACAAUUUUAAUCUUGCUAAUUUUUUUCUUGUUCAUUUAUUCUUGUAUUUUUUAUUUCCUCUAAAUGUUGUACUUCUUGUUUUGCUUCUACUUUUAUUUUUUCUAUUUCUCUUGAUUUGUCUAUUUCUUCAUUUUCUUUUGUUAUUCUUAUCAUGGCUGUUAAACUAUCUUCUAAUCUUGCUAUUUCUUUUUCUAACAUUAAAUAUAGGUUAUUUCCUAUUUUCUUAUAUCUUCUUCCUAAAUUUGAAAAUAUUAUUUUUAUUAUCAUUCCGUCUUGAUUUUCAUAUGUCUUUUCGUCUACUGCAAAUUCUUCUUUGUUCAUUAUAAUUUAUGUGUUAUAUUAUGUUGUAACUUAUAUUCAAGACAAUCUAAUUAUAGUUCUAGCAUAAAUAUAACUUUUCUUUGUGCUAGUAUUGAUUUAUUACAUACUCCUGCUAAAAUAUUUUCUUCUAGUCUUCUUUUUCUAUGUUGUAAUUCUUGUUCUUUUUCAGCUAUUUUUUCUAUCAAUUGUUGUUUAUAUUUUUCUUUAUUUAUAUUGUUUUUUCAAAUAACAAACAUAUUUAUAUUCCGUUUUUGAAAUUAUAUUUAUUAAAUGAUCUUUUUUAUUGUUACUUGUUUUGAUAAGUUGUGAUAGUUCAUAUUCUAUAUAUAAAGGUUUAAAUUCUUUCCAUAUCUUUCAUACCUUUUUAUCUAUCUUGGUUUUUGUUGUUUUAGUUUCUUUGCUUGGUGCUGUAUUAUUCUUCAUAAAAUGUUUUUCUAUAAUAUUCCUUUUUAAGUAGAUCUAAUCGUUGUAUUUCAUUAGCAUUGUUUAUAAUAUAUUCUAGAUGUUCAACUUCUCGAGUUCUUAAAUAAUCGAAUAAAUUUUCAAUUAGUAAUUUUUCAAGUAGAUCUAUGUUUUCUAUGGUUUUUACCCAAUAUUUUAAGUAUUCGUAAUUUAUCAUUAAUCUGUAAAUAUAUCUAGAUCAUCAUAUAAAGUAUACAUAUCAUAGUAAAGUUCAUCUUGUAUACUCUGUAUGCUUAACUCAGUCCAACCUUGGGUUGUUAUUUCUAUUAUUUUAUAUGUUACCAAUUUGUCAUAAAUUUCUCUUUUUAUAUCAGUACUAAGAUUUUUUAGUAUAUAGAGUAGUGAUAUCUUAUAAUCAUCAUCAUCAUCUAUUAAAUAAGUAUUCAUCUUAUUCACUUUGACUAAAAGUUUUAUUCCUUCCGACCUCUUAAUGGAUUAUACUUAUCUAUUUUGAAAUAAUAAUGAUUUAAUAAUCAUCUCGUCUAGUCACUACUACAUCUUUCUUCUUUGAUUAGUUAUCCUAACAGCGCCUCAACUUUGUUUACUCCCCUAAACGCCCUUCUUUCCUACCGGUUUCAACUUUAGGAUGACAUAGUCUAGGCAUACUUAUUCGAAGAAUAUUUCUGUAGCAAACCUUCUAAAGAUGUUUAUUAUAACAUUAUUAAGUCAUGAUGAACAAUUAUAAUCAACAAGAGAUUUUCAGGAAUAAAUCUAUUUAGCUACACAUAAAUUUAAGAGUGUAUACCUGUUUUUGUAGAUCUGUAGCUCCAGGUUCUUCCAUAAUUAUUAAUUUAAUUAGCUAGCUCUGAUACCAAUUUUGGGGUGGAAGCGAUUAUUGUAAGAGAGAGAGUGGGAAGAAGUUGGAUUAUUUAUUUAUGAGGGAAAGCCCUCUUGUUGAGUCUCUCUUUACUAGUAUAUGAUAUGAAUAGUAUAAAACCACAAAAAUAUAUUACUCUUUCAAAAGAAUUGUAUUCUUUAAUGAAAUAGAGUCACUUAAAAUGUUUGAUUUUUCAUGAAAAGAUAUGUCUAUGGUAUAGAAUGAACAUUGGUGAAAAUAAUUUGUUAUGUUUGUAUUGUAAAACAAAUAUUUCGGUCAUAUUGUCUUUAUUGGACCUAAAAGACUAUGUUCACGAGUUAUUCUAUAACACUAAAAAAAAUAGUGUUUAGCGACGAACACAAUCCGUCACUAUAUGAUGAAAUCCGUCACUAAUCACGAUUAGCGACGAAUUAGCAACGGAAUAUUGAUUGUUGCUAUUAUGCUCGUUAGUAAGCUCUUAGUGACGAAAAAUGUGUUCCGUCACAAGUUUAGCGACAUCCUAGUGACGAAUAACUUCCGUCGCCAUAUGUUAGCGACGGGCUUACUCGUCAUUAUAUUUAUAUAAUUUUAUUGCUAAUUUCAUAAUUCUAUGACAAAAAAUGAUGUUUCAUCUCAAUUUUAGCAACGUCGUAGUGAUGAAACAUUUUCGUCGCCACAUGUUAGCGACGGACUGAUUCGUCAUUAUAUUUAUAUAGUUUUGUUGCUAAUUUCAUAAUUCAUUUCGUUAUUUUGGAUAAAUUUGCAACAAAAUUUCCGUCACAAUAUAUUUUGUAACAACAUAUUAGGCCUUUUAAUAAUUCGUUGUUGAUCUGUCGCCAACAUUCUUUUUACAGCAACAACUCGCAAAAUUUGUUGCUAAAAGUUGUUCUUAUGCAGUGCUGAAAUAUAUUAAAUUAAAAAUACUAAAUACUCUAAAAUUAACAAACAUUCAUAUAAUAUAAUAACCAUGGAUGAUUCAUAAUAUAUAAAUAGAAAACUCUAAAACAACAUAUUUCUGGUUUAAAAUAUCCAAAGAAAACUAUCAAGUACUCUUACAUGAACCUAUGUUCAUGAAAAUAUUACUAUGCGCAAUUUCUAGUUUCCAAAAAGUAUGACAUUAUCAAAAACUGAAGUUGUGGAGGUAUCAACUUGAAAUUGAGGUAUCAACCUCGUCCACAUUACUAGCAGGAGGCAUGGGCGUCGCAGACGAUGGAUUGCCGAAUGGAGUAAUCGAUAUUUGUACCUGCUCAAUAAUAAUAGGAACAAGAUGACUAGUUAGUGCAGACAUUAUUUUCUUUACAAACUCUUCCAUAUUUGUUUUCGAUGUUGAUUGAGAAAAUGGAUGUGGUAAUGAUGAUGACCCACAAAGUUUCUUCCCAUAGUAUUUUUUUGCUUCAGAUCCAAGACCGUAUAUUCUUCUUUUCUUUUCUCCUCCCGCAGCUUGGUAAUAUGCUUCAUAUUGAUCAAUAUCAGUUUCAGAUAAUGUUUUUCCCUUUAAUAUUUCUUCAUAUUUUCCUAUAAUAAGUAGAGAAAAUGAGAAAAUAUUAAUGAUAUGGGACAAACCAAAUUUUGAAGUAAAAUGGAGAAAAUACACAAACUCAUGCUCAGUACAGAGUAGAGAGUGGCAGAGACACUAAGAAUAAAGAUGUCCCUUUCAAAUAAGUUUGGUACUAUUCCAUAUGAUUCUUUAAAACAUAUCAGCUGCUCUUUACAAAGAUAAAGUAGUAUAUGUGAGUGAAGGAUGAGGCAUCCCUUUUAAACUGAGCAAACUGAUAGAAAUAAAAUACUUCACAAGUUGACUUCUCUACUUCUACGAGGAAAAUGGAAUUCAUAGAUGUGUACACCAUUUGUCUAGAAUUUGGCAUACUCUCUAAUAGAACUUAUCAAUACCAUCAAAUCAAAUCAUGUACUUGACGAAAAAUGCACCACUAUCUAGUGUACCAGUUGUUGUGUCUGUGGUAAUAAACAGUGGGUAGCCAAGUAAUUGGUAAAAGCAUCCACCCAAGAGAAGAUCAUGUCAAGAUGAGCUAUCUCUUAUUACAAAUGUGUCAAGUAGAAGUGCAAUAGUUUUAAGCAUGAGUUUGUGUUUUUAGCAACAUAUAAUUAUACCCACACCAGCAAAAGUAGUUCCCCAGAGUAUUAGCAUUAUGAAACAAUGGAGUUUGGACUCUUUGCUACACCCACAUGGUCAAUAAUUAUAUGCUAACUGGGACUUGUGCCACAUAGACAAUGACAACUAACUAUUCAGGAAAAUCCCCCUCCCCAACUCCCCACCAUAACACGUGCUCAGUUCAUCAGUGAUUGACUUUUGGAAGCUAGCUCGAGUCAAGUACCUUUCAAUAUGAUACAUCAAGCUUGUAUGAUAUAUUAUACUGGAGAGUACUUGAUCGAGGUUACAUUACACUGAAACAGCAACAACAAAUUCUCACUAAAAUAAGCCUAGAAUCACAGUAAAACAACUAUUGAUUGGUCUAUGUAGAUAUAUGACUGUCACAUGGGAAUUCACAACCAAAUAUGUCUCUUUGUUCCAAUCAUCGUGCUGCACUAGAGUCGCAGUAAAACAACACUAGAAUCGCACCAAAACAACACUAAAAUUGCAGCAAAAAAGCCUCAAAACAGUGGCAGUAGUUUCUCUCUAAAUCGACAUUGGAAUUGCAUCGAAAAGUCUCAAAACAUCAUUAGAACUAUACCAAACAGCAGCAACAAAUACACUUUAAAACAGGAAAAAAUUGCACCAUAAACUCCAGUAGGAAAGAAUCGAAACACCACCAAGUUUUAGACUUACAUGGAUAUCGCGAGAACGCUCACCAACAAAUGAUUUUCCAUCAUGUCCAUGUGUAUAAACAUGUAGAUGUAACUCACUUGACUUGGGAUCUCGGCCUUUUUCAAUAGCCUAUACAAAAGAAAUUGUCUUAUAUAUAUCAUAUAAGAGAAGAUGUUAGUUAUAGAGUUUGUAGAAUAUAUAUACUCAAAAGUUUCUUGCGAUCUUCUCCGAUAGAAAUAGAGCCAUCAGUGUGAGUCCUAAUAGCAGCUUUACGGCCCCCAUGACGAUUUUGCGAAUUAAUUUCUGGUUUCCUAAUAACUCUGCACUUCUCCAAAGCUCCAUCCAUCUUUCUCACACAUCUUCUGGUACAUAACUUGGCCUAACUCCUCCUUUUUUUAUUUAGAAAUGAAAUUCCUAUAGUUCAAUGUUGCCUUAACCAUCCAGUGUGUUUUGACUUUGUUUUAACUAAUGGAAACAUUCCAGCAAAAUCUUUUUGAAAUAAGAUUUGAAAGUAGUACAUUAAAGUCCUAUCUAUAUAUGUGAAUACACUUGCAAAAAUCACUUACGAUGAAAACUUCUACCCUAAAUUCUCCAAAAUAAUCAUUUCUUACAUCAUUUGAGACAACUUUCCAAUUGAUUCCAUUGGGAUCAACCUCACUUUUGAAAGAUUUGGACAUGAAACUAAUGCAUAUUUGAUAAGGUUCUAGUCUGUAUAAAUUAGAAGAGGUUAUUAGGAGGGCUAUCAUAAAUCAAAAUUCAAAGACAGCAAAUGGCAUCAACACAACAAGUAGUAAUAAAAUUAAAAGAAUGGACUAGCCCUGCAUAAGUUAGAAAGACUAGGGUCCUUAGAUGGCUACUGUUGGAUUCACCUUCAGCAAUUGUAUUUGUAUGACCUAUUGGAACAUUGCUAUGGGUAGAAAGACCUUGACCUAUUAGGUUAUUGUCAUUUGGUGUAGCUGGAGGUGUCUCGAAGAUGGUUGGGCUAAUACUUUGAGUUGACAUUUCAAUAUUGGUCCGGGUACCACCUUGUUGAGGAGAAACUGUUGUGGGCUUGGAAAUAGUUGACAUGUUUAUACGAAAAGCAGGAUUAUUCUUACCUGAGGAUUUUCCACGACCUCUGCCUCCAGCCAUACCUAUAAACAAAAAAACCAUUGUUGUUAGAUAAUGAAAUUACAUAAAACAAUAAUGGUGAAAUAUAAAAAUUAUCUCUGUAAUUAAGAGCUUAUUGAUCAAGUGAAAAAAAUUAGUACUUUGAUAUACAAGAGUAACUAUCUAAAAAAAAGUAACAACAACGAAGGGAUCAUGAACUUCUAUCAGAAGCUUUACACAAAGAAUGUGCUUUUGAUAAGGCUCCAGAACAUUGUUGUGGGUAGAAAGACCCUAACAUGUUCGGUUACUCUCAUUUGUUGUAGCUUGAGGUGUCUCAGAGAUGGUUGAGCUAAUACUUUGAGUUGACGUUACAAUACUGGUCAACGUACCACCUUUUCGAGGAGAAACUCUAGUGGGGUUGGGAACAGUUGAUCUGCUUACACGAACAACAUGAUUACUCCUACCUGAGGAUUUUCCACGACCUCUGCCUCAAGCCAUAUCUAUAAACAAAUAUAACAUUGUUGUAAGAUAAUCUGGAACAAAGAUGAAAUAUGAAAACUCUCUGGAAAAGCUUGUUGAUAUGAAAUUUAUCAUGUGCUUCUGAUAAGUCUACAGAACCUGAUGGUUACACAAUUAUUGUCAAGUUAUGUCAUUCAAUUCAAAGAAAUGAUAAAAAAAUUUAUGUUACAAUAAGUCUCCCAAAGAUUUAAUUAGGAAUUGAAAUAAGAAACAGAACACAAGUAGUUCAAAGACAAGAGCUAUUUCUUUUUAGAACCUAAACUGAAAAUUAGUAACAAGCACAAACUCUGGACCAAAAGGCACUCUCAUUCAUAUUCAUCAAAUAAGAACAAAACAUGCAUCUCGACAAAACAAAAACAAUUUCUAAAGUUCGUCACUAGGCAGACUUAGUCCCACAAAAUUUAUGACAAAUAAAAGGUAUUGAAGCAUUAAAUUUGAUUUACAGUACAAACAAACACUUUUCAGUGUGUGAGAAACUAGAGCAAGAAAAGAAUUUGGAGUCAAUACUACAUUUCAUCAUCAACAAACAGAAGCACAUUACAUGAAAAACUUUCCACUGAACAUUAGUAAUUGUAUUAUCAAAUGAAAGCAGACAGAAUUUCAUACAUCUAAAAUGCUUAACUGAUGAAACAAUGAAAAAUUAAUAUUCACUAAAUCAGAAGCUAAAAUGCUCUUGAAGCCAUUUCGCUGAAUCUAGAAAGAAGUUACUCUAUUGUAUACUUAAUAGCUUAGUAGCUAUUAAGUAUAAUAAAUAAAUAAGAGAUGAGGAACGAAAGGAUAACUAUUAGCUUCCAAAUAAAAUUUUAGCAGAUAGAAAUAUGAAUUCGAUUCAUAGAAUGAUCAGGGGAUCUGAAAACAAUCUACUGACGUACAUCAACAAAAAAAACAUUCACCUUAAUUAGUUAACUUCAAGAUUAUAUCCUUAUUUUGAAAAGAAAGCAUCAUUAACAAUAGCAAAACUGAAUGUAAAGCAUAGGCUUACAGAUAAUGAAACGAAGAACAUAGAUUCUACAACAUAGCGAAGAUUAGUCACCGAAAAAGGAUUCAAACAAAAAGGAACAAAUAAGCGUCAAUACUAAAUUUUAAACAAUAAAAGUCAACUUUCACAUUAAUAUGAAUCAAGGAAAUCUAUUUAGAACACAUGUGUAGCAAAUUCAAGUCAUCGGUUCUCAUCUACAAACAACAGUGUUACAACAACAAACUAGCGAGGCAUAUCAUGAAUAGUAGAAAACAAGAAGAAGAUUACGGAGAAAACGUUACCUUUCUCCAUGCAGUGACUAGACAGUGAAAAGCUUAGAGACUUUUGUCACUGUUAUUUCGAGAUAUCGAGAAUUCGUCAAGCAAAGUAGAAGCAAGCAAGGUUAAAGUCUAAAAAAAUUGGAAAAAUAUUCAAAAUAAGAAAUUAGAGCGAAGUAGAAGCAAGCAACACUAACGAAAGAAAGUAAAAUAUCAAACACAAUAGUUAACUCAAUCCUUUCAACACUAAAAUAAAAGACACAAGGAAAACACAUACAUUUCAUCGAAAUCGUGAUAAAAUUUUAUAGCUAUCACAUAACACCUUUAGAAAAAAAUGUAGCAAACAACUAGUGUUGAAGCUUCUACUAACAAUUUCAUACAUAAGAAGAGACUAAGAACAAUAGAAAAUAUCUUCUUUUGUUAAUGAUUGUAGAAGCUAAUUUAAGCCAUUAAAACGCCUCAUUCUCAUCUCAUAUCUCAUUGUGAAUUCUAAAGUAGAUAGAGCACACACUUUUUUCUUAAAACAUCAUUGAGAUAUGUAUCCAUCAUUAAAAUCUAAUUGCUAAAUCAUGUCAAUGCCUAUUUAUCCUUUUUAGAUUCUCUUUUUCUAUCAACUUUUAGCAAGUUAUAGCUAUAAGAUUUACUAAGCUAGCUGCAAUGCAAAAAAAAAUAACAACUAAAUACAAGAAUCUUAUAAUGUCUAUAUCAAUAGCAAGUAACAUUUUAUUUUUGAAACACUAUUUACAAGCUUUUGGUGGUGAAGAAGAAGAAGAAGAAGAACUUCCAUCAGAAGUGAGUUUACUGGCGAUUUUUCAUUGUGUUAGAGUGAGUUCAGUAGAAAAUGUGGUUGAUCAAUAUGCCUAACAUCAUGUAUCCACGAAAAUUUACAAAAGACUUAUGGAAUUCCUUGAUAACCCCAUCCCGUUUCCCCAGCCAUUUUUCACCAAAUAGAAGUCAACACCCUCCUCUUCACCGCACUAGAAGCUCACCGAACAUAUGAAAAAAGAGAAAUUACCAAAGGUAGAAGCUCACCUUUCACCUGAGGAUGAAGGAGACAGGAGAAAUUUCACCGUGAACCUAAGACGGGAACAAUUUCACCUCAGAAGGUAGCAAUCGAAACGAGAGGGAGACAGGAGAAAUUGAAAAGAAAAGGAGACAGGAGCAAUCGAAUUAUUACCUCUCAUUGAGCUGUUGCGCUGCUCUUGUGACGUUUCACUGAGAUAAUACCCUAUUUUUUAGGGAUUGUAAUUUUUGUUUCCUUUUUGUUUUUCAAUGGACUGAUGAAUUGGAAAAAAUUAUUGCAACGAACUUAGCGAUGGAUAAAUAAAUAUAAUUAUUUACAUUAAUUUUCAGAGAUGGAUAUUUCCGUCACUACGUAAUUUAAAUUCCAUAAAAAUAUAUUUAGAUUCUAGCAACGCUUGUCUGUCCCUACUUCCGUCACAAUAUAUUAUUAAAUUUGUAAUACCUAUUUUGUUGCAAAAUCUAUAGCGAAAUUUAAGGCGCCAAAGUUUCCCGCUAUUAUUUCACGACAAAAAACAUAAUUUGUCGCCAAUCUGUUGCUAUAUUAUAACUCAAAAGAAUAUUUGUAAAUUUUGCAACGAAAUGACUACUUCGUUGCUAAUCCAUUGUUAUAUAGUGACGAAAUUGAUUCCGUCGCUAAACAUUGUUCUUUUUGUAUUGUAACAAAUUGAAUGUUAUGGAAAGGUCCUUCUGCAAAAGACAUCUGGCAAGGUGUUGACUCUAAAACAAUGUUUGUAUUUGACAAAGUUAUAACAAUGAAAGAACAAAAUAUUUGUGGGAAAUGUUACCUCAUGGAAGGUCUUUUCAAACAAGUAUUUUUGUUUGUUCUUUCUUGCUUGAAUUAAAUUGUUUGUGACAUGAACAUUUGGGAAAUGUCAAUUACAAAACCUUGCAAAAACUAAUCAACUUAGAAGUUUUGUCUAACUCCUAGUGCAAUAAAUCAAAAUGUCAAGUAUGUUUUAUUACUUUAACCCUUAGAAUUGAUUUACACUUACAUUUUUUAGGUAAAGUCAAGAUCAUCUCGUGGUGGAAAAAAUGUUUCAUAAAUUUUAUUGAUAAUUGCACUAGAUAUUGUUAUGUCUAGUUGCUGAAUAAUAAGGAUGAAGCAAGAGAAACAUAAGCAAUAUAAAACUGAAGUUGAAAAUUAAUUAGAUAAAAAGAUUGUCAUGAUUAGAAGUGGUAGGUGUUGAGAAUAUAAAUCUUCUUUUGCAGAAAUAUAUUUGCAGAAUGAAAUCAUUCAUCAAAUUAAUAGACAUACUCACCUCAAUCUAAUGAAAUUAUUGACAGAAAAAAAAUAUGAACUUUAAAGGAAAUAUUGAAUAUCCUACUAACGAGUUCAGGUUUACCAAAAAAUUUGUGGGGGAUUCUAUAUCAUUAUAGCAAAAGAGAAUAACAAAAAGUUUGUAUGUUUAGAAAGAGAGAAACAAAAAAGAGUAACAAAUAAAAAAUUUUAUUUGUUAAGAAAGGGAGCAACAACAAGUUGUGUUUGUUCAGGCUUUAUUAUAUCCUGAUAGAGAAUUGCUUGUUGCCCUUAAAGUAUAUACAAUCAAUAACACCCUUGAAAGAUAGUGAUCUAACCAUUUCCAAUACAGUCUAUUCCAUAUGAGAAAUGAAAAUGAGGGAACUAUUUUCAAACAAGUCAAAAUAGGACCUAUGACUGUGGAUUGUAUGUUCAUUGAAUAUGCUACAAUGAGUAAAGCAUAUUAAUUUAUGGUUCAUAAGUCCGAAAUGUCAGAUUGUCAAGUAAAGGGUCUAAACGUCCUUGGAUAAAAUCAAAAGAGAAUGCACUUAAUAAAGAGAUUCAGAGGCGUAGUAAAUGUCAAUGGACAAAUUAUUUCCUCCGAAUUAGAUUUGUAAUAUUUCUUCUUGAAAAUGAGUUCAUACAGUCAAACAAGAUUUGUCUUGUGCGGAGUCAUUCUUUUUGAAAAUAGGUUGUCAAUAGUAGGAUAAAUUCAAUUUUUAUCAACCAACUUGAGAAUUGGUUUCUUUCUCCAAGAAAUAAACAUUUGGGUUCAAAGUGGACCUACAAAAGGAAAAGAAAGUUGGUGAAAUGUUAACUAUUGACAAAUAUAAAGAAAGAUUUGUUGUCAUAUGUUUGGACAAUAAAAAAGUCUUGAUUAUUUUGAUACAAAAUUGCCACUAACUAGGAUUACAUCAAUUCAAAUGUUAGUUGCGCUAGUUGCAUUAUAUGGCCUUCAAAUUCUUCAAAGUAGAUGUGAAAAUAUUUAUUAAAAAAAUAAAAAAUUGGAGGAAAAAAAUUACAUGGAACAACCUGAGGGAUUUGUAGUUCGUGGUAAAAAAAUGUUUGUAAACUUGUUAAGUCACUUUGUGCAUGCGCCCAAAUAAUGACAUGUGAAUAUUGACCAAACUAUGUUGGUAAAAGAAUUCAAAUUAGUGAAUGUGAUUAAUGUUUUUACAUUAAAGACACUUCGAAUCACAAGGUCAUUAUUUAUUUUUAUGUUAACAACAUGUUGAUCAACAAAAGAGACAUUUCUGACAUAAAUGCUACUAAGCAUGUGCUAGAAAGUAAAUUCGAUAUGAAAGAUAUUGAAAUUAGUGAUGUGAUUAAAAAAGUACUUGACAAGUUCAAGUACUUGGAUUUCAAUAUUGUCAAGACUCCAAUAGUGUGAGCAAUAUACUUCAAAAGAAUGAAGGCAAAAGUGACUCACAAUUGGAUUAUACCAGAGUAUUGAAAAGUAUGAUAUAUAUAUAUAUAAAGUGUACGCGAUCAGAUAUCUGUAGCAUUAUCAGUAAACUGAGUUGGUUCACAAAUAAUCUCACUCAAACUCAUUGGAUGACAAUGAAUCCAAUGAGUUUUGAAGAAUUUAAAACAUAGUUAAUACUAUUGUUUUGCAUUAUAACUAAUAUUCAACAAUAUUAAAAGAAAAUAGUGAUGCAAAUUGAAUCACAAGGUCAAAUAAAGUAAAAUUUACGAAUGAAUAUGCAUUUACUCUUGAUGAAGGAGUAGACUCUUGAAAAUCUUUCAAACAAAAGUGUAUGGCUCGCUCUACUAUAAAUCCGAGUUUAUCACUUUACAUAAAGCAGGUGAAGAAGUUGAAUGACUCCAAAAUUUCUUGAAAGAUUUUUUCCCCAAACCUUUAGCUCCUGUAUGCAUACACUGUGAGUGUUAAUUUACAAUAGGUAUGGCAUGGAAGAUGAAAGUAGGGGUGGAAGAUGAAGCAGAAUUUCAAAUGAAAUUGAAAUUAAAGUAACAAAAUUAAAAUAAGUCAAAUAGUAAGAGAGAGAAAUUUUAAAAAAAAUGAAAAAAAUAUAUAUUUCAAAUUAAAUUAACAAGUUUCACACAAUGAUUGGUGUGUGAUAACACUUGUGAUUUAAAAUUUGAAAUUGAUCGAGAAAUGAUGUAAUAAUAUAUGUUCGAAAUGUUAGGUUGUGGAGCCUGAUUGAUAUAUAUUACUGUUAGGUUGUGGAGCCUGCACUAUUUAUUCUUCAUUUAUACUCUGUAAUCAAAAAUACUCUGAUUUAUUAAUAUAUAUACCCCACCGCCGUGGAAGUUUACUCACGGGGUGUUACCACGAAAUAUUGGUUUCUCUCUUUCUCCCUCUAGAUCUCUCAUCUCUUUCUCUUGAAAAGUUCUCGUGUUCUUCAUUUAUCAAGUGUGUGUGCGUGAAUUCGAUCCUAACACGAAAUUGUUUAGGGAGAUAAUAGGACACAUGAAUAGUUAAGAUGUUUUUUUGAAAAUUCGAAAAAACUUCAGGUGUCACUUUAUGUCUUUUCUCUAUAAAAUAUUGAAUUUAAAAUGUAUUAUAACUAUUGUUUAUUUUUUCUCAUUUUAACGGUAUUAAAAUCUGUUAUUGUAUUAGAAAUAUAUUUUUGUAUUAAAACUAUUUAAGUUAUAUAUUCACAAUGUGCAUUGGAAAAUAAAUAUAAUAUGUGUAAUAUAUUGAAUUCAAAAUGUAUUAUAAGUAUAGUCUAUAUUUAUUUAUUUUAUUAAUAAUAUUUAUAUAUUUUUAAAAAUAAAUGUUAAUAUUCCAGCAGGGCUAAAUAUUUGGAAAGAUACAUACAUAAAUUUAAAGAAAGCGGUACUGGAAUAGCUCUUAACAACAUUACUAGACAGUAUUUGGAUCAAUGAGCUAUUUGUUGGACCAACACAUCUAGGGGUUUUGAAUUGGCUCACCGUGCCUCCUAAUCCAACGAAAUGAUCCAAUAUCUUAUGAAAGGUUCCCCUCUUCACAAUCCUCAGUUUAAGUGCUCCAAUUGCAUUCACUUUCCUGGAGCUCACGUAGCCUGCAUCCAGGAACGUUUUGUCCAGACAGUCGCAGCAUUCUUGCAAUAUUUCAUCAGUUGCUUCCCCACUCAGUUCCCAGGAGAUAACAUAGUGUCCUGGAUCAGCUGAGACGUUGACAUGACUGGUGAAGUCCAUCACUUCUAGUUUUUCGUCAACUAAGUGCUUGCUUGCAGCUUCCACGGCUAGUUGCAAAUCUUUCUCAGUGUUCUUGUCUAUGUUAAUGCUCAGUAAAAGGUUCCUCCAAUUGCUUAAACUUGAACAUUUGCUAUAAAUUGUUUCAGCCAAUUCUGGAUCAGGCUUCAACAAUUUUGACAUGACUAAUCUUAUGGAUGGUACAGUGACUCGGCUCGAUAAGACUGCCUCCCUUAUGUCAACAACAAGUUCUUCCCAUACUUGUUCGAAAGUUCGAAAAGCAUGGACAAUGCUAUGUGCAAACGUAGACGAAACAACUUGAACUUCAUCGCGGAAAAUGAGACCAGACAGAAGGUGACAGUAUAGAGAUUGUUGAAAAUCAGGAGCAAAUAUUACUUCACCAGGACUACAAACUGGGGUAGACCAAUCCUUCAUUAUCUUCUUGUAUUGUGGACUUGUAAACACAUUAGUAGUGCCUGUUGAAGCUGCCAAAACCCCCUUUAGUUUUAAACUGCUUGCUGCUGUAAAAAAAAUGCAUAGCCUUCCCUUUCUCUAUUGGAAAUUCUCUGAAAGAAAUGAACAGAACUAUUAUUAGGGAACUAUUUACCUUUUAAUAUGAUGUAUUUAUGACCAAAAAAAAACUAAAACAACUUCAUGAACUAACAAGAAAAUUACCUGUUCCUAAAGGCAAAAGAAGUCUUGAAUGUCUGCAUGGCGGAAUUCAUCAAUUCAUCAUUGAAAGGUACAAACUUUGGCUUCCCUUGAGUAGUACCAGAACUGCAAAUCAACCAUUAUAUUUCACAAGUGCAAAUCAACCAUUAUAUUUCCUCUUUGAACAUAACAAUAAUAUACAAUAUCCACUGCACUCUCACAAGUGGAAUCUAAGUAGAGUACAACGUACACAAACUUUAUCGCUCAGACCAUCUCCAACCCACCUCUAUUUUACUCUCCAAUCUCUAUUCUGAAGAGCAAAAUGAGCACUUCAACCCAGCUCUAAAUCAUCCUCUAUUCUCCAUUUAUGGAAAGGUGACUAUUCACAGUCUCUAAUUCAUUUUUCAUUAUUUUAUUAUUAUUUUCUGUUACUUUCUAAUUAACAUAUAUUUUACAUAUAAUUCCAAUAAAUAAAUAUUCAAUAUUUAUAAUUCUUGUUUAAAUGUAAUAUAAUAUUCAUAAAAGUAUUUUAAUGUAUACUACUUUAAUUUCAAAUUAAUAGUAAUUUGAUUUUUUCUAAUUUUCAUCACUAAUAAUAAAAAAGUUAUUAAUAGUUUUCAUUAUAAAUAAUAUACAAAAUUAGAAUGGCAAGGUCAAUAAUUUAAUUUAAAAAUACAAUACAUAGUAUGAUAAAUUAAAUAUAAGAUAACAACACAAUACAUAACAUAAUAAUUUAAAUACAAGAUAACAAUACAAUAUAAUACAUAACAUAAUAAUUUAAAUACUGAUAAAAAAUAAUACAUAACAUAAUAAUUAAUUGAUCACAACAAUAAUUUAGUAAUCCGGUAGAUCAUUUCCAGAUCUCGCACUAUUCAAAAAAUAUUUUCAGCCACACCACGCUUUGAUGAUGCAAUAUUUCGCUAUUGUUAUCGAAUGUACCACAAUUUAUUUCUUCGUAUCAUUAAUGCAAUUAAAGAUCACGAUACAUACUUCGAAAAACAAAUUUGUCUACUUUGCAAAAAAUCUUGCUAGCAGUAUUGUGCCUCCCACCCAUUAUGUUAUUCAAAGAAAAGAAUACAACAUGGGUUAUUACUUAACUGAUGAUGUAUAUACUAAAUCGUCUACAACUGUUCAAAUUAUUCGUGUUUCUCAUUCUCAAAAGAAGAAAUAUUUCGCGAUAAAAGAAGAAUCAUGUUGAAAAUAUAUUGAACGUGCAUUCGUAUUUUUGCAAUCACGUUUUACAAUUAUUAUAGGAGAGUCACGUUUUUGAAGAAAUGAAGUGUUAUAUGAUAAUAAUGACUACAUGCAUUAUACUGCACAACAUGAUAAUUAAGGAUAAACAUGAUCUCAAUGCACCAAUUCAAGAUGUUGUAGAGGCUCCAACCCCAACUAUAGAAAUGGUGAUAGAUGAAAAUCUCAGGCCUGAACAAUUUUUAACUAGACAUAAAAAAUAAAGGAUAAAAUUCUCAUUUUGAACCCUGUAAUGCAUUAAUAGAGCAUUUAUAGGAGACACAUACCGAUUUUGAAAAUUAAGUGUUUAUGUAAUUGUAUGUCACUUUUAUUUAAAUUUAUCCCCUAAUUUAUGUAUUACAUUAUAUUUUCUUACAGUUUAUGUUAUAUAAAAAUUUAGAAUAAAAUAUAAUUUUAUAUCACACUUAAAAUUAUAUAAAGUAAUUAUUUGAAAUAAAAUUAAAGGAUUAAUAUCAUAAAAUAAGAAAAUAAGAAUCAAAUAGAAAUAAUAAUAUAAUAUUUGAGCAGAGAGAAAAAAUUUUCUUUUUAGAGAGUAAAAUAAUGAAUUAGAUUGGAGUUGGUUGUGAGAAAAAAAUAGAGAACUCCAUAUUUAGAAAGUAAAAUAGAGGAUUGAGUUGGAAAUGCUCACAUUAGUUUCCGAUUGACAAUCAAUUCAAGGAAAAACACAUCAAAGCAAAUUGAAAAAGAUUAACUAUAGUGAAGGGAUCAUGACAUAAUACCGUAGAAAGCAUGAUAAUAACAGAAAUCGACAUACAAAAAACAUCAACCCAAAAAAAAGAAGAGAAUUUUUUGCUUACCUCAAGGAGAUGGCUUGAACGGGCUUUCCAGUAAGAAUAGGUGAAAUAUCACCAUCAACAAUUCUUUGAAUAUAAGGAUCAAAAUCACUGUGACUGACAAUGGGGACACAAGCCUUGAAAGUCUCAACAUCAGUUCUGCCAUUCAUACCCCAUUGCUUCAAAUACUCUGUUCCCCCAUUUUGCUGCAGAAUUUUCCCAAGUGUCUCUUCUUGAAUCCUCCCAGCAUUUUUUGUUAUCACCUCAAAAUCCUCAAUCACUUGUUCUGCAUCAAAUUUCUUCUCAAUAUUUUCCAUCAUCUUAGACUUCAACUUUAAGCAAUAACAGUCAAGUAAAAGCAGUCAAUAAUCCUCAAUUUGAGAAAUGAGGUUGGGCGAUUAAGAAGAAUUUAAGCAACUCUAAAGUUAUUACUGACUUCAAUGCAACUUACCUCAUAAAGGACAAUUUUUAAAAAAAUAGAAUUGCUAAGUGACAUGAAACUUUUUUGGCACCGAUGUGGCAUGACACUGCGAAAUGACAGAAUUAGCCUUUUGGAUGUUGGUUCCAAAACCACCUAAUUUUCUCCGAAAAAUAUAAGAAAUCACUUUUGACAUUUUUUUAAAAUUUAUUUUACUCUUUCAAUAUCUUUACUUUCUUUUUUACUUAAUUCAUUUUAUAUCUCAUUUUACAAAAUGUUUCUUAAUUUUUUAUGUUUGGUUGACUUAAAUAUUUUAGAAAAUAUUUCUCAAAUAAACUUAUUUUCCUCAAAUAAUAAUCUUUUCCUAACCUCACUUCCUUCUCCGACCCUCCCUAUUAAAAAUAAAAAAAUUAAUUUUUUUAAGAAAAUCAAUUUAUUUUGUUACUACACCCAAACUAGCCCCCUCCACACCCACACACCCGCACGAUGGUCUAUUAAAAGGGACAAAGAAGUUAGGUAAUUAGGUGAAAGUCAUUCGAGUUUUAGAUAUUGAGUAGAAGUGACAUAUAAAUAAAUAAUAUUAAUUAAAUUAAAAAGUUUUUUAAAAAGGCCCAAACUUUUAAAUUUUACACUUUGCACCUACAUUCUUUACCUUAAAAUAACUUUAUCAUAAUAGACCAGAAAGACGCUCUUUCUCAACUACAUCAACUUCCCACUGAUCCUCUUCAAAUGCACGUAUAUUUGUCAAUCCUGCUUUUUUCUUCUUCUUCCUCUUCUUCUUCUUCUUCUUCUUCAUCUUUCUUUUAUAGAGAAUAUCUAUCAAGAAAAAUUUAUGAAAAAGAAUAUCAAUAUAUAUAUAUAUAUAUAAAGAGCGCCAUUGAUAAGUAUGAAAAUCACUUUGUGUCCAUUCUUAAGUUGCGUUUUGUGAACCCAAAGUGAUUGUUUCAGUCAACAAUUUUCGUAUCGAAGUUGAUGUCCAAUAAUUGUCUUUAGUUGUAUGGUGAUAAUAGAAGUUGUCCCAACAACUAGUGCAGUUGUUCAACAAUUGUGUUCUAUUGUUGGUCAAUUGAAGAGUUCUAAUAAAAUCUAAAACUAUUAUCUUUUUUACUGUUGUUGAUAGUUAUGAAACAACGAAAUAAGUGUAAAAAUAAGUAUUAAUAUUCUUUAGCAAUUUCAAAGUUAAUUGAUGAAUGUCUCACUAGUUGAAAUAUUGUGUGAUGUCUUCAGGUAUUGUGUCCAUCUAUGGAACAUCAAAUAAUAAUAGCAAUUGAUUACAUUGUGAAUGGGUAGAGAUUCCUAUUCGUUACACUUGGCGAACAAAGGUUCGAGAAACAAUAACAAUAAAGAUAAGUGAGAAUGUUACAUAUAACGAGUUGAUUUCUAGGUUUGAGUUAAAUUGUGAUAAAGAAGAUCUCUCUAUUACUUAUAUGCUUGGCUUCAUUGAUAAGCAAAAAGGACCUCCUUCUAGGAUAACGGAUGAUCGUGAUUACGAUUUUUUUGGAUGAUCGAUGUAGGCUCAUUUUAAGAAUAUAUGUGGUUGAAAAGAUAACAGAGACAGCAAAUUCAGUUGCAAAUGAUGAAGAGCGUCAUAUUACUAUUGAUAUUCCUAUAAACGAGGACGUUUUUCUAUAUUUCAUACUAACAGGAGGCAGCCACAUGAAUGAUGAAGGCACGAGUUUUUAUAAAGGUUAAAUAUUCAAGAACAAGCGAGAAUUAACUAAGUUAUUGAAGCUUGCUUCUUUAAAGAAAUUAAAGAUCAAAGGCUCAAAUCAGUAAAGAGUUCUACAGAUGAAUAUUUUGCUAGAUGUGUAGAUCCAAAUUGUGAUUGGUGGUUGCAAGCAACAAAAAUUCAAUGUUGUAAUAGAUUUGAAAUUAAACAAUACCGUAAUAUUCACUCAUGUGGGGAACUACAUCUUACAAGUCAUCAUCCACAUGCUUUAGCAUAAGUCGUCGCAGAUACAUGCUACUUAAUUUCUUGAUAGUGUAGUUUCAUGACUUUUUGCCGUAUUUAUAACAUGUACUUAAUGAGAAAAUUAUUAGUUCAAACAACUUAUAUAGUUGUAUUUUAUUAACUUUUAAUUUUUAUCAAAAGCUUCUAAUUUUUGUAUCAACAAUUUUUAAUGUUGUCGGACAACUGUAACAGUUCAAGGGUCAAGUCCUCCAAACAACUGCAUUAGUUGUCCAACGAUAUUGAAGAGUUGUCCAACAAUAUUGGAGAGUUGUCUAACAACUUUGCACAGUUGUUUAAAGAUUGAUCUAGCCGUUUUGUAAAUUAUUAGGUAUAAACUAAGUCGUUUAAUAAUAAUUGAAGAUCGAUUUAGUCAUUUUGUAAACUAUUAUGAAUAAAGUAAGUCAUUUAAUAAUAACUAAAGAUCAAUUUAGUCGUUUUAAAACUAUUAAGUAUAAAGUAAGUCACUUAAUAAUAACUGAAGAUCGAUCUAGUCAUUUUGUAAAUUAUUACGUAUAAACUAAGUCAUUCAAUAAUAGUUAAAGAUCGAUUUAGUUGUUUUGUAAACUAUUAAGUAUAAGCUAAGUCGUUUAGUAAUAACUGAAGAUCAAUGUAGUCAUGUUGUAAAUUAUUAGGUAUAAACUAAGUGGUUUAAUAAUAGUUGAAGAUCGAUUUAGUCAUUUUGUAAACUAUUUAGUAUAAACUAAGUCAUUUAAUAAUAACUAAAGAUUGAUUUAGUCGUUUGUAAAUUAUAAGUAUAAACUAAGUUGUUUAAUAAUAACUGAAAAGUUGAUCUAGUUAUUUUGUAAAUUAUUAAGUAUAAACUAAGUCAUUUAAUAACAGUUGAAGAUAGAUUUAACCGCUUUGUAAACUAUUAAAUAUAAACUAAGUCGUUUAACCACAUCCGGGGAGCUCUCUUGAUCACUUCGAGCAUCUGGAGCAUACAAGUGAUUCUUCUUAGGAGCAUCCGGGUUUGGGCACUUGCUUGAACUUGAGAAUUUUCCCUUUCUUGAGACUUCAUCAUAGGGAAAUGUCUCUUCAUAUGACCACUCUUGCCACAACCAUAAAAAUUGCCCAUGCCAACUAGGCACUUACCAUCAUGUCUCUUGUCACAUUUUGCACAAAGAGGCUUCUCAACAUAAGAUCUUCCACCUUUCCCCUCUUGGGGCUUGGGAGAAGGCACCUUGCUCUUGAUGACCCUUGGUGCAAUAGAAUAGCGUUAAUUGGAAAACCUCUUUUUGACCUUGGUUUGUCUUGAACCUCAAAUUUUGUCUUCGAAGAAUUCCCAUCUUCGUUCUUACCUUCUUCAACUCCCUACCAACUUGCUUAAGAUUUUGCUCCUCAAUUUGUUCGGCAUGAACCAUGAGACGAGAGGUGUCCAUGCAAGGAAUAAACAAAGCCGACCUACAUUCAUUAACCACAAGAUCGGAUAUCCCCAUGAUAAAUUUGUUCAUCUUGACCCGAGAAUCCACAACCAUAGUAGGAAAAUGUUUUGAUAGUGUACUGAAUUUUAAGGCUAUACUCCUUCACGCUCAUACCCCCUUGACAAAGGUUGAUUAAUUCUUGAAUUCUCCUCUCCCUUAGUUCCAAGGAAAAGAACCUAUCAAGUAAAGUCAUUUUGAAAGCUCACCAAGUAAUCCGACCUUCUAUAACCAGCCUCUUAUACUUCCAUUGCUCAUACAAAACUUGAACCACGUGCACUCGUGGCUGAGAGUUUGGAGGUUUCUCAAAACCUAUUGCCGAAAAAAUAUUCCAAGGAUAAGAAGAGAGAAGGCAAAAUGUUUUUGUAUUCCCUUUAGUUGGAUGUCUUAUAAUGUUCACAAAGUUCAUGCUUAUAUAGGAUUUUCCAAAGAGGAGUUUCAAAGGGAAGAAUUAAUUUGUAUAACUUAUAUUAAAUGUUAAUGGCAUUAAAAGUCAUUACAUCACAUUCGAGAGAAACUCUUCUUUGUUUUGGAACGGAAGAAUUAAUUUCUUUGUAACAUAAUUUACUUUCUAUUCUUUGCAUUACAGAAAAAUUGAAAAAAUGUUGAAUUAAUAUCACAAUUCCCCACUAAUGAAAACAUAAAGAAUAAGAACAAGUUUUGGACAAAAGGAAGGAACAUGUACUUAUAUGUCAAUAUCUUUCGAUUUGAAUUGACACGUAGUGAUAUGAGGCAACAACUUAUUAUCCACAAAGUGAAGUACUCUAGAAAUGAGCGGAUAUGAAUUGAGACCCUCAUAACACAUACCAUAUCCUUAAGUUUAAGCAACCUCCGCGAUACAACAUGCCUUUAUGGUCAUGCACACACACCUUGGGUCUUACGAGUUCUCUAGAAAGACGACACAAGUCUUUCAUAAAAGGCGACCACAUCUUUACACUCACGUAGGUGAUGCCAUCAAGUCUAUCUCAAAUAGACCACCUUACGGCUAUAGAAUCGUUAAGAGCAAAUUAAGUUCAACCUUAUAAAAUAUUGCAUCAUGCCAUACGGAUAGAAAAUGUGUUGUAUAUUGAGGCCUAAUAGGUCCACCACAUUACCUCAAUCAAUGGGCUUUAGCCCUAUCCCCCUCGAUGUUUCAAGGAUUAUUUUCCUUGUCAAGCCCUUUGUCAUAGGAGAUGCCAAAUUUCUUUUGGACCUUACAUAUUCCAAGGAAAUAACACCCAGUUUAAAUAAUUGUUUAACUGCACCAUGUCUGAUGCGAAUGUGUCUAUUUUUUCCAUUGUACACACUAUUUUUAGCGAUUCCAAUUGUUGCCUGUGAGUCACAAUGAAGAGAAACUGGUGAAGCUUAUCUUCUACCACAAAGGCAUAUCCGCCAAAAGAUUUCUUAGCCAUUCAGCUUCUUGCCUGCCAACUCGAGAGCAAUGAAUUCUGAUUCCAUGGUAGAAUGUACUAUACAAGUCUAUUUGGAAGACUUCCAUGAAUUAGCACCUGCACCUAAAGUAAAUACAUAGCCACUUGUGGAGCUAACUUCAUCAUUGUCAGUUACCCUGUUUGCAUCACAAAAACCUUCUAAAACAGCAGGAAAUUUGUUAAAAUGCAAACACCAAUUGAUAGAACCUCUCAAAAACAUUAGCAACCGAUGAAGAGCAUUCGAGUGUUCACUACUGGGAGUAUGAAUAUAUCUUCUCAAUCUACUAACAGCAUAAGUUAUAUCAAGCCGAGUAUAGUUCAUGAGAAAAAGUACACUGCCAAUUAUUUUAGCAUAUUCAAUUUGAGAAACAGUAGAUUCUUUAUUUUUCUUCAAGUGUAUCCUAGGGUCAUAAGAAGUCCUCACUAGAACUACAUCAAAACAAUCAAACUUUUUCAACAUCUUUUCAAUGUAAUGAGACUGACAUAAAGAGAAACCAUUAGCAGUUCAUUUGAUUUUAACUCCCAAAAUCACAUCUGCUUCACCAAGAUCUUUCAUUUCAAAUUUAGAAGACAAAGAGUUCUUAAUCUCAUUAAUAACAUUCACAUUAGCAACAAAGAUUAACAUGUCAUCUGUAUAUAAACAUAUAAUGAAACAAUCUGAACCUAUGAUCUUAGAAUAAACACAUGUAUCGGAUGAAUUUACAACAAAGUCAUUAUCCACUAUGGUGAUAUUAAAUUUUUCAUACUAUUGCUUAGGUGCUUGUUUUAGUCCAUACAAUGACUUUCUCAGUUUGUAUAAUUUAUCCUCUUGUCUUGGAACCACAAAACCCUCGGAUUGAGUCAUAUAGAUCUCUUGCUCUAAAUGACCAUUUAGAAAUGCAGUUUUAACAUCCAUUUGAUGUACCACUAAAUCAUGAAUGGAGGCUAAAGCAAUAAGAGUUCUAAUGAUUGCUAUUUUUGUCACAGGAGAAUAAGUAUCAAAGUAAUCAAUGCCUUUCUUUUGGUUAAAACCCAUAAUCACAAGUCUAGCCUUAUAUUUAUCAAUUGUACCAUCAGGUCUCAAUUUCUUCUUAAAUAUCUACUUGCUACUUAUGGGUUUACAACUUUUAGGCAAAUAAUGCAAGUCCGAAGUCUGAUUAGAAACUAUAGAGUCUAACUCACUUUUAAUAGCCUCUUUCAAUAAUACAACAUCUAUUGAUCUCAUUGCUUCAUCAUAAGUCUUAGGAUCUUCUUCUAUUAAAUAGAUAGACACUAAUUCAUCAUUUAAAACAUUAAUAUAAUAAUUUUCAGUUAAGGAAGUAGUGAUAAAUUUAGGACCAAAACUUUUUCAUGUUCAUUAGAAAUAACUCUAGAAAAAGGUACAACAUGGGAAUCAAUAAACAUAGAUGUAGAAUUAUUAUUUUACACAUCACUCGGCACAUUAUUUUUUAAAAGGAACAUAUGCUCAAAAAAUUCUGCAUCUCUAGAUUCACAAAUAGACUAAUCAUUUAGAGACAUAAAUCUAUAUGCAGCACUAUUUUGAGCAUAACCUAUAAAUAUAGCAUCAGAAGUCUUAGAACCAACAUUUACUCAUUUAAAAUUAGGUAGAUCAACCUUAGCCAAACACCCCCACACUUUCCAAAAUUUCAAAUUAGGAGCAAAUCCUUUCCACAGCUCAUAUGAGGUCUUGUCUAACUUCUUAUGCGGGACUCUAUUAAGAAUAUAGCAUGCAGACAAGACUGCUCCUCCCCACAUAUUAUCAGAUAGACAGAGCUUAAAAGCAUAGAGUUUAUCUCUUUAAGGGUUCUAUUUUUCCGUUCGGCUACACCAUUUUUUUGGGGAGUAUAGGGAGCACUAAACUCAUGUAUAAUACCAUUUUUCUCACAAAAAUCUUCUAGAGUUUUAGUACUAUAUUCACCACCCCUAUCAGAUCUAAAUCUCUUGAUUUUCCUAUCUAAUUGAUUUUCCACUUCUGCUUUGAAUUUCAAAAACAUGCUUUCAUUUUCAUCUUUAGACUGAAGAAGAUAUACCUUGGUGUAUCUAGAAAAGUCAUCAACAAAAGUAAUGUAAUACUUUUUUCCACCUCUGCUAACACUGUUUUUGAAUUCUGCUAAAUCUGAAUGUAUUAGUUCAAGUAAUUCAGUCUUUCUACUAAUAACAUAUUUGAAAGGUUUCUUGGCAUGCUUUGCUUCUAUGCACACAUAACAUUUAGAAAAAUCAUCAGUUUUUAUCAUUAGAAUUAAUUCCAUUUUCUUAAGUUUUUAAUAGAAGCAAUAUUGAUAUGACCUAGUCUACCAUGCCACAAAUUGAUAGACUCAACAAUAUAAGCAAAAUUUAAAAUACUUCCAUUAUUGACAAUCUCUUGAACAAUGUUCAGUACAAAUAAUCCUCCACUAAGAUAUCCCUUCCCAACAAAGUCUCCUCCACUAGAAAUAAUUAUUUUAUCAGCUUCAAAAACAAGUUUAAGGCCUACUUUGUUGAGAAGUGCUCUGAAAACUAAGUUCUACGGAGGGAGGGAACAUACAAAACAUUGUUAAAGAAUAAUGUGUUUCCUAAAGUUAAUUUAAGUAAAACUUUUCAUUCACCCAUUACUACAGCAGUAGUGGAGUUACCUAUGUAUACACACUCUCCAUCAGUGGACUCCUCAAUGUCAUGGAAUAACUCUUUAUUGGAACAAAAAUGCCUUGAAGUGCCUGUGUCUACUACCCAGUCAAUCUUGUUAGCCACCAGAUUUGCCUAAACAACUACAACAACAAUCACUUCAUUACCCUCAGCAAGAUAAGCUUAGACAUCACUUUGUCCUUCCUGCUUUGAGUCUUUCCUUUUCUUUGAUAGCACCUGGCAGCCCUGUGACCAACUUUUCCACAAACAAAACAAGAACCCUUAAUUUUUUAAAUUUGACUUUUCGGCUUGUUGAAUUGAUUUUUCUUCUUCAUAAGUUCCUUUUUUAAGACUUUCUUCUGUUUGCCUUUGAAACUGUCUUUCACAACAGUACCAGAAGAUUCAACAAGAUUAACUUUAGAAGAAUUAAGAGAAAGUUCUUCCAUCUUAUCUUUGAGACGGUUCGCCUCUUCAGUCCUCAUAUGACUAAUAAAUUCUUGGAGAGUUAAAUUCUUUUUUCUUAUGUUUUAAUUGAUUUCUAUAAUCACUCCAAGAUGGUAGGAAUUUUUCAAGCAGAACAUUAGCCUGAAAUAUCUCAUACAUCUUCAUGUCCUCGUUGAGAACAUAAGCAGUCAAAUUCUCAUAUUCGUGAACUUGCUCCAUUAUGGGCUUAUUAUCAGGCUUAUUAUCAACCAUUUGUAAUUUAAUCCAUUGGCCGGCAACAUAUUUUUUCUUUCCUGUAUCAUCAGCACCAUAUUUCUUUUCCAAACUAUCUCAUAUCUCUUUGGCAGAUUUAUAGUUUUAAAAUAAAUCAAAUAAAGGGUCAGUCAUAUGAUUUAGCAAAUGUCCUCAAACAAUUUGGUUAUCCUUUUCAGACUUCUUUUUAACAACAUCAUCAACAGUUACAACAUUACUAGAAUCAUAAGCAGUGUUAGAACCAUUCAUAGAAGGUUCUUUAAAUAAAACAGAAUCAACUUCUAAUUGUUCAAAAGAAAUUAAAAGUUUUUGUGACCAUCGUUUAAAAAUUUUCCAUCCAAAUGCUCAAGUUUUGACAAAUCAUUAAAAGUUUUGUUCAAAGAAAUAUCCAUUAUCAAUAUUGUAUGUUAGGGAAUCACUUUCAAAUUGUUGGAAAAAUUACUAAAAUAUUGAUAUUAGAAUGAAACUAUAAAAUAGUAAAUAACUUAUCACAAAUAUUAUGUCAUGGCAAGCCACUGCCUUGAAAGCAAUUUUGGCUCGACUCUGGUGCAAAUCGUUGCAGUUGGUCGCUCCCCAAGGUUCCACAGUUACUCUCAAACACGUGCACUCGUGGCUGAGAGUUUGGAGGUUGCUCAAAACCUAUUGCCCAAAAAAUAUUCUAAGGAUAAGAAGAGGGGAGGGAAAAUGUUUUUCUAUUACCUUUUGUUGGAUGUCUUAUAAUUUUCACAAAGGUCAUGCUUAUAUAGGAUUUUCCAAAAAGGAGUUUCAAAGUGAAGCAUUAAUUUGUAUAACUCAUAUUGAAUGUUAAUGGCAUUAAAAGCUAUUACAUCACAUUCGAUAGAAACUCUUCUUUGUUUUGGGACGGAAGAAUUAAUUUCUUUGUAACAUAAUUGACUUUCUAUUCUUUGCAUUACAGAAAAAUUGAACAAAUGUAGAAUUAAUAUCGCUGAAAUCAUUCAGACUAUUAACACCAGGUAUUAAUAAAGGUUUCUGCACACUUCUUGCUGCUGAUAUUCGUCUUACCUCCGUCCAUUUAUCGUCCUGCUUUUCUUUGAUCAGCUCCCCUUGUCUCUCUGCCUUAAGUUCACUGUUGGAAUGUGCAAUUAUACCGGGGUCGUUUGGCACUCAUUCAACUGUAACCCUAUAGGAUCAGCAAGAUUUGGCAACUUCUGGUCAUCCCGUUUAGGUUGACACUCUUAAGCUUGUGGCUUAUCCUUACGAACAAUGGGUUUGGUUUGUACAUUAGGUGAGUUGUGCAUUUAUGUCCAACCUGGAGACACUUUGGACAAUAUACAGGUAUCAAUUCAUAAAUCACCUUCAGAUCAAACACUCUUCCAUUUGGAUCCUCCAUUCUAACUGAAACUGGGAGUUCUUUUGUUAUAUCAAGCUAAAUCAAAACUUUGGCUAAGGAGGUUCUAGCUACCUUCAUUGUGCAUUCAUCAGCAUACAAAUGCAAUCCCAAACCACUACUAAUUAUGCUCAAUGAUUGUAUCCACCGUCAAUUCUCUCUAUAUAUAGAUAUUAGUCCAAAAAAAACAUAGAUAUAUAUUACACUAUUUAGAUAAGAAAUCCCAGCAGGACUACAAAUUUGGAAAUAUACAUACAUAAAUUUAAAAGAUAGCAGUACUAGAAUAGCUCUUAACAACAUUAGUAGACAGUAUUUGUAUCAAUGAGCUAUUUUUUGGACCAACACAUCUAGGGGUUUUAAACUGGCUCACCGCGCCUCCUAAUCCAACGAAAUGAUCCAAUAUCUUAUUAAAGGUUCCCCUCUUCACAAUCCGCAGUUCAAGUGCCCCAAUUGUAUUCAUUCUCCUGUUGUUCACAUAGCUUGAAUCGAGGAACGAUUUGUCCAGACAGUUGCAGCACUCUUGCAAUAUUUCAUCAGUUGCUUCCCCACUCAGUUCCCAGAAGAUGACAUAGUGUCCUGGAUCAGAUGAGAUGUUGGCAUGGCUUGUGAAGUCCACCACUUCUAGUUUUUCGUCAACUAAGUGCUUGCCUGCAGCUUCCACAGCUAGUUGCAAAUCUUUCUCGGUGUUCUUGUCUAUGUUAAUGCUCAGCACAAGGUUCCUUCGACAGACGAACUGGAGCUCUGGAGUGCUAUUGUGGAAUCCUUUUAUCUUCACAACAUCACCCAGUCUAUAACGAUAUAAACCUGCAUAUGCAAAUGCAUAAGUGUAGUCAAUUAUACUAUCACUACAUAUAGCUAAACUUGUAUAUGACACAAUAGAUAGACCGAUACCUUGUUAUUUUGAAUAAAUCUGUUAUGUGGAACUUAGAAGGAAAAAUGCAAAAGAUUCCAGCAUUCUAUAUAGAAGUACUUAACAACAAAAGGAAAUGAAUAUCAAGCACAUGCACGUAUUGCUGAACAAAUGAGUACAACAGAACAUGGACAAAAGACCCAGAAUAAGGCAUAAAAGCAAACGACAACUCUUUUCUAUCUUAGCAGAAUUUAGUAUUUUAUGCCAGGCAGGCAUAUUUAACUGAUUAUGUUUCCAACAAUAUUGCCAUAAAGUACGAAGACUAAGGACAUGCUAAACUCCACAAGUCUAAGCUGAAUUACAUGGCAGUCAAUAAAAUUAGAGCAGAACUCGUUCACUGGGAAGAAUCACUGAAUAAUAAGAAUAUGCUCAAUUAUCCCCGGUUUAUCAUGUUGUGCUCACUCCAUAAUUCAUAUAUGAACAGAGACCUCAAUUUGAUGAGCAUAGAAUUUUCAAGAGAAGUCGUGCAAGAAAAUUGUACCUGCAAAAUUAGUGAAGACAAUUUCAUACUCUUCACCAAGUUUAACUUCAGUCAGGCAGACAGGAGAAUUUGCUUGCUCCAUGCCAAUGAGAUUUUCCUCGAGUGGGAGGAAUUCAAAAUAGCCAGUAUUUGGUAACACUGCAUAAGUAACCAUCUCAGGGGGGAAUUUUGGGUUAACAUUUAAUCCAACCCAUCCUUCAGAAGAACCAUAAUCUGCACUCACUAGAGGUAAUUUCCCUGCAUAGUGCCUCAGUUUCUUCAAGUAAGGCUCCAUGGAACCUGUCAUGAUACCAUAAAUGUACUUUGUAUUCGGGAAGAGUUUAGGAAUCAAGCCAUACCAAUUGCUUAAACUUGAGCAUUUGCUAUAAAUUGUAUCAGCCAGUUCUGGAUCAGGCUUCAGCAGUUUCGACAUGGCCAAUCUUAUAGAUGGGACUGUGACACGGCUCGAUAAGACUCCCUCCCUUAUGUCAACGACAAGUUCUUCCCAUACUUGUUCAAAAGUUCGAAAAGCUUGGACAAUGCUAUGUGCAAAUGCAGACGAAACAACUUGAACUUCAUUGCGGAAAAUGAGACCAGACAGGAGGUGACAGUACAAAGAUUGUCGAAAAUCAGGACCAAAUAUUACUUCAUCAGGACUACAAAUUGGGGUAGACAUUGCCUUCAUUGUCUUCUUGUAUUGUGCAUUUCUAUACACAUGGGUAGUGGCUGUUCCAGUUGCCAAACCACCUUUAGUUUUAAAUUGCUUGCUGCUGUAAAUAAUGUGCAAAACCUUCCCAUUCCCUAUUGGAAAUUCUCUGAAAGAAAAAAAUAUAGGCUAUAUGAUGUAUUUAUGACAAAAAAAACUUCAUGAACCAACAAGAAAAUUACAUGAAAUAUAAGACAGAGAACAAAAUGAAAAAUUACCUGUUCCUAAAGGCAAAAGAAGUCUUGAAUGUCUGCAUUGUGGACUUCAUCAAUUCUUCAUUGAAAGGUACAAACUUUGGCUUCCCUUGAGUAGUACCAGAACUGCAAAUCAACCCAUUAAAUUUCCUCUUUAAUCAUACAACAAUAUACUGCUCACAAGUGGGGUCUUAAAAAAGAAUAAAAACUUUUUUGCUUACCUCAAGGAGAUGGCUUGAAUGGGCUUUCCAGUAAGAAUAGGUGAAAGAUCACCAUCAGCAAUUCUUUGAAUGUAAGGAUUCAAAUCACUGUGACUGACAAUGGGGACACAAGCCUUGAAAGUCUCAACAUCAGUUCUGCCAUUCAGACCCCAUUUCUUCAAAUACUCUGUUCCCCCAUUUUCUUUCAGAAUUUUCUCAAGUGUCUCUUCUUGAAUCGUCCCAGCAUCUUUUGUCAUCACCUCAAAAUUCUCAAUCACUUCUUCUGCAUCAAAUAUCUUCUCAAUAUUUUCCAUCAUCUUCAUAAUCAAGACUUCAACUUUAAGCAAUAGCUGUCAAGUAAAAGCAGUCAAGAAUCCUCAAUUUGAGAGAUGGGGUUGGGGGUUAAGAAGAAUUUAAGCAAAUCCAUAGUUAUUACUAACUUCAAUGCAACUUAUUACUAACUUCAAUGCAACUUAUUACUGACUUAAAUGCAACUUAUUACUAACUUCAAUGCAACUUACCUCAUAAAAAGAAUUGACAGAAAUAAAGAAAACAAGUUUGUUACAGAUAAUCAUACUCAUUAUCUUCGUCUUAUUCUUAAGAUACAGAGAUGAAUCUAGAAAUUGAAAAUACCGAGAUAAUUGUCAUUUUUAAUGUAGACGUGUCAAUUUUUUUAUUUAAACUAAUAUAGACACGUCAAUUAUUUACACAAAGUUUGAGGCAUAAUUCUAUGGGAAAAAUUGGGUUGUAACUACUAAAAUGCAAAUAUAAAACAAAGUGCAAUUGGAAGUUGGUGUUGGGUUCUUUAAAAUGUUUGAACAUGAAUUGGAGGGUUGUGACUCUUCUGAAAGUUAUGACUUUGCAGAAAGGUUGUGAUCUUUAUGAAAAGUUGUGUCUUUUCUAAUGGAUUGUGAUCGUUUGAAAGUUUGUGUAUCUUUCAAAGAGUUCUGACGUUUUUGAAUGGUUGUCUUAUUUUCAAAGAGUUGAGACCUUUAGCGUUUGUUGGCUAUAAAUAGAUAGGUUUUCUCUCGUUUUUGUGCAUUGAAUUAUAUCUUCUUUUGCAUACAUUUGUUACGAAACAAAAUCGAUCAAUCGUGUCUGUGUGUGUGAUUUGUUAAUGUCAUUUUAAGUUCAUUGAAUUUAUUGAAGUUUGAGGUAUCGCUACUUCUUUAAUGAUUAAUCUAAUUUAUCUUGGGAGGAUGUAACUGCAACCUUGAGUACUUGAGGGAAUUAAAUUUCUUAAGGACACGCAGCGGUUCUGUGGACUCAGAUAGUUUUUUGUGUUUUUCUUUUCAACUUUUAUUAUUUCUAGUUUACUAAUUCGUUUAUAGGAGACAAAAAAUUUAAGAAACUUAAUAUUUGAAGGAAUAUUGAUUGUAUUGAAGUGUUAACCUAAUAAGGGAAUACAUGGGAGAUAUAUAUAGGAGAUAUAGGAAGGAUUACUAAUCCUAAUAGGACUAGGAUUAAGGAGUACUAAUCCUAAUAGGACUAGGAUUAGUACACAGUAAAUACUAAUAUUAUUUAAUAUUAUUUGUUUAAUUCUAUCUGUUAUUAUCCUCCCUCAAGAUGAGCUGAGCGGAAGCGAACGGAAGCUUGGAACUGAGGUAAUCAUGUUGUCGGAUCGGGAGAGCCUUGGUGAGAAUAUCAGCCAGUUGUUCUUCAGUGGGUACAUACUGCACAGUCAUGGUGCCGGCCUGAACUUCAUCGCAAACAAAGAGACAAUCGGUAUCAACAUGCUUCAUUCUGGUGUGUAGGACGGAAUUCUUGGCCACACAGAUGGUUGAUUUGUUGUCACAAUAGAGAGCAGGAACAGUGUGAGUGCCGCGGAGUUCGCAAAGAAUAUAUGUGACCCACAUGGUCUCAGCAGCGAGAAGAGCAAGGGCGCGGUAUUCAGCUUCAGUCGAGGACCGAGAGACCUUGGGUUGUUUUUUUGUACAAUAGGAGAUCAGGUUCGGCCCCAAAAAAAUGAGAAACCCCGAUGUAGAUUUUCUGUCAUUUUUAUCAUUCGCCCAAUCUGAAUCUGAGAACCCCCGAAGCUCCAAGUUCCCGGGUCGAAUGAGUAAACCACGACCAAGAGUGCCAAAAAUGUACCUGAGAAUGCGUUUUAGACAAUGGUAAUCAUGUUCACUUGGUUGAUGAAUACGCUGAGCAACUCGGUUGACAGCAAACUGGAUGUCAGGACGGGUAAUGGCCAGAUAUUGUAGAGCCCCAAUGAGGCUGCAGAAGUGGGUGAUAUCCAGCAAAGGGGGUGUCGGCUCCAUUCUUAGACGAAGAGAAUGCCAUUGGUGUUGGUUGACUGGUGCAUUUUUCCAGUCCAGCUUUCUACAACAGAUCUCGAGCAUAUUUUGACUGAUGAAGAAACAAGUCGCUGUCUGUCCGAGAAACCUCCAUUCCCAGAAAAUAAUGUAACGGGCCAAGGUCCUUCAUUUUGAAGGUAGUAGCUCGAGUGACAUCCUGAAUGAGAGCUGCAGUAGAGCCUGUAAUAAUGAUAUCAUCUACAUAGACUAGAAGAAUGACUGUACCGUGUGCUGAAUGUCGAGUAAACAGACUCGUGUCGUGUACGCAACACGUGAAGCUGAGUCCGUGGAGGAACGUUUUCAGACGUGUGUACCAAGCACAGGGGGCUUUCUUGAGCCCAUACAGAGACUUCUGGAGUUUGCAAACAUGUUGAGGGAAGCAGGGAUCAACAUAGCCCGGUGGUUGCGUCAUGUAGAUAGUUUCAACAAGCAUGCCAUGAAGAAAAGCAUUGGAAACAUCCAACUGAUUGAUGAGCCAAUUGUUGCGCACGGUGAGUGACAGUACCAGGCGAAUGGUUUCCUGCCGAAUAACAGGACUGAAUGUUUCGGAGUAAUCAAGCCCAUACUCCUGAUUGUAGCCUUUAGCAACCAAACGAGCCUUGUACCUGGAAGUACUGUCAUCUGCAUUGUGUUUAAUUUUGUACACCCAUUUACAGCCCACUGGGUGCCGCCCAUGGGGCUUAGGUACAAGAACCCAAGUUUUCUGAUCAGUCAAAGCCUUAAACUCGUCAUCCAUAACAUGACGCCAAUAAGCAUUUUUUGAGGCAACAGAGUAGGUUGUUGGUUCACUAUCGGGAAGGGGUGUAUUUGGUAGUAUGGUAGCCUAAAAGGUUUUGAGUUUAAAGAUAUCGGCUUUGCCAUGGGUUAACAUGGGAUAAGUAUUUGGGGGGUGGCACGGGCGGUGGUGAUUCGGGGGUGUCCGGGAAGGACACAAAACGAAUCGGCUGUAGAUGUUGUGGGUAUGGGGUGGUUUGGGUUGGUUGUGAGUGUGGGUGGUGGUCGCGGGUAAAUUGUGGGUGACGGUCGAAGGGGUGAUGAGGGGUGGUUGGGUAGUGUGUGGAGGUGUGGGGGAAGGUGGUGAGGGACCCUGUGAGUAUGUUAGAAAAAGGGGAAGGACGCCAAUGAAUGAUGUAUUUGUGGAGGAGGAAAUAAACUCGUAGGGAAACUCAUUUUCGACAAAUUUGACAUGAUGAGAUAUGUAGACUUUAUGAGUUUGUGGGUCAAGACAGUGAUAACCCUUGGAGAUAGGAUGAUAUUCCAAAAAAAUACAAGGACGGGAUCGGGGUUUUAAUUUGUGAGUAAUAUGAGGGCGUAGCCAAGGGUAGGCAAUAGACCCAAAGACGCGGAGGUUGGUAUAAUUGGGAAGUUCUGGGUAAAGGAGUUGGUAGGGUGAUUUGUUGGAGAGGGUGUGACUGGGCAUUCUGUUAAGGAGGUAGUUUGCGGUGGCUAGAGCUUCUACCCAAAAGGAGACAGGGAGAUGAGAUUGAUGUAGAAGAGUAACCACCGUUUCAAUGAGAUGGCGAUGAUUAUGCUCAGCCACCCAUUCUGUUCGGGAGUGUAUGGACAGGAGGUUUGAUGUAUAAUUCCCAGGGAUUGCAGAAACUGGCCAAAGAUGUUAUUUACAUAUUCCUUUCCAUUGUCACUUCAAAAAAGUUUAACAUGAGAAUUGAAUUGUGUUUUGACCAUUUUUUCAAAAGUGACAAAGGUAGUGUAUGCCUGUGAUUUGUGUUUUAGUGGGUACAACCAAGUGUAUUUUGUAAAAUCAUCCACAAAACAAAUAUAAUAGUGAAAACCAGCAAAUGAAGGAACAGCUGUAGGACCCCAUAGGUCAGAAUGAAUAAGUUGAAAAGUUGCAGUUGUACGCUUCUUAGAUAAAGUAGAAGGUAAUUUAUGAGAUUUAGCAAUUGAACAGGAGUCAGAAUUGUUUAUAUGAAUGGAAGAAAAACCUAAUUGAGACAUUAAAGAAUUUAUUAUUUGAGUAGACGGGUGACCCAGACGACUGUGCCACAACGACUGUGGCCAUCAGGCGAAAGAGCCCCCGAAUCCACAGGAACGGUUUCUGAAACUGGGUAGGCAGUCGAACUUGCGCCAGGAAGAACGUACAGACCAUGCUCACAGGGGCCCUGAAAAAUCACCCUCUUGGUAGUAUUGUCUAGGAUCUGAAAAUCAUUAGAGGUGAACAAGAGUGAGCAAUUAUUGUCUUUUGUGAAUUGGUGAACUGAAAGGAGAUUGGUUUUAAUAGAAGGGACGUGGGUAAGGUUACCUAGGUGAAAAGAUAGUGGUGGGGGUUUUAAUGGUACCCGUGCCAGUGUGAGAAAUAUUAAGGGACUCACCGUUGCCAACAGUAAUACCAUUGGAGCCAUGAUAUGGAUUUGGAGCGUUAAGCUUGGAUAGUUUAGAAGUAACGUGCAUGUUGGCCCCAGUAUCCAACAGUCAUUCAGAGGAGGGGCCGGCUUGAGAUACAUAAUUGGCACGGUUAUCACUAUUUCGGCUCUUCUCAUACCGAAACCAGCAACGAACAACGGUGUGUCCUGUUUUCUAACAGAUUUGACAAGUUGGACGAUCCCGCUCGUAAGUGCCCUGCCAGCCGCUGGAAGAUGACUGCCCGCCGCUGCCGAAGGAGUGCAGGAUGUUGUUGCUGUCGUGCUGCUGACCGUCAUACGGCGGACGACUGCCCUGCCGACCGCCGCGCCCGCGGCCUCCGCUGUUUCUGCCGUAGCCGCCGCGACUCCUCUACCGGCCACCACCACGCCCCCCGCGAUAGUUCUGGCUUGCGGUGAAGGCGGUGGCCGGCUCCAUAACAGCGGCUUCUCGGAGAAGAAGUUUGCUCUCCAGAUCCACGUUGAUUUCUUCACUUUUUAGCCAUGAGGAGAGAGUAGCCAGGUCAACGGGCGUUGGACUGAUGCGAACCGCCUGUUUAAUGGAGGAGCAAGCUGAUGGGAGCCCCCGAACGACGCACAUGACGAGAUCUUUUUCGGGAAUGAUUUCGUUCGCGGUGUCGAGGGUUGUGAUGAUUGUUGAGACCUUGUCUAAAUACUCCGCCAUAGUUUUCGUGCCUUUGGUAAUUGUGUGGAGACGAUCACGCAAUUGAAAAAUAUGAGAGUAGGAAAUUGAUGCAUAGCGUGUUGCGAGGGUCGUCCACAGUGCUGAAGUAGUUGUGUAGGAUCGGACGUGUUUCUGAACCGUGGGAGAGAUGACCGUAAUCAAACAUGAUCAAAUCUGAACAUCCACGGCUUUCCAGGCGUCAUAGGCCGGAUUGGUUUUUUCUGAUUUGUCCGUGGCGGUGAUGACUGCCGGCGGCGAUUCUGUGCUUCCAUCGACGUAUUUGAGAAGGUAAUUGGCCUCAAGGGCUGUAAGAACGGUGAUUUUCCAUGUAGUGUAAUUUAUGUCUGAUAAUUUUUCAAGAAUUAGGGCAUGAAGAUGCCUAAGAAGGAGUUUAACGCCAGAAGGAAGUGAAUCGAGAGGAUCCACCUCGGUUGUCAUGGCUGCCACCUCCCAAGAGAAGAGAGGGAACGAUCGGUGCCCUAAAGAGAGAAAAAAACCUAGAGAAAAGAAGAUCUAGGUUUUCUGGCUCUGAUACCAUGAAGAAAUAUUGAUUGUAUUGAAGUGUUAACCUAAUAAGGGAACAGAUGGGAGAUAUAUAUAGGAGAUAUAGGAAGGAGUACUAAUCCUAAUAGGACUAGGAUUAAGGAGUGCUAAUCCUAAUAGGACUAGGAUUAGUACACAAUAAAUACUAAUAUUAUUUAAUACUAUUUAUUUAAUACUAUCUGUUAUUAAUAUUGAAGGUAUUUUAUGUUAAGACUUACUUCUAUUUUCAGUAUUCUCUUUAUUGGGAAAAAUAAGUUGAAAAAGAAAAUUAUUUUAUCAUGAUAAAAGAGAUUUGGAAUGAAUUAAUACUACUUCAAUAUGGUCGAGUAAUUAAUACUACUCAUUUUUCUGCAUUGAAUUAUCUUCUUCUUUUGCAUACAGUUCAUACAAAACAAAAUCGAUCAAUCGUGUCUUUGUGUGUGAUUUGUUGAUGUCAUUUUGAGUUUGUUGAAAUUAUUGAAGUUUGAGGUACCACUGCUUCUUUAAUGGUCAAUCCAUUUUAUCUUGGGAGGAUGUAAUCUGCAACCUUGAGUACUUGAGGGAAUUAAAUUUCUCAAGGAAACACAGUGGGUUCCGUGGACUCAGAUAGUUUUUUGUGCUUUUCUUUUCAAUUUUUAUUAUUUCUAGUUUGCUAAUCGGUAUAUAGGAGGCAAAAAAUUUAAGAAAUUUAAUAUUGAUGGUAUUUUUUAUGGUAAGACUUACUUCUAUUUUCAGUGUUCUUUUUAUUGGGAAAAAUAAGAUGAAAAAGAGAAUCAUUUUAUCAUAUGAUAAAAGAGAUUUGAAAUGAAUUAAUACUACUUUAAUAUGUUCGAGUAUAUUUUCUGUAGUAUGUUUUCCUUAAUUAGAUGGGUAUGAUUAUUUUUAGUUUCUUCCCAAGUGCAUUGAAGCAACUCACUACACUUUUUAUUUAUUUUUUUUUUCCCUAUGUUAGUUUUACAUAAGUAUGAAAAAAGUAAAUGAACAAAUGUUGUCUCCUAACAAUAUUUGAACAUGAGUUUAGUUUCUUGUUGAAACUAAAUGUCUUCUUGAGAAAAAUAGGAACAUGAAGGAAACUAAGAAAAGGAGAAAAAAAUUAGCAAGGAACAUGACUUGCAUGGAAUCAAUAGAUAGAAUAUGAUUUGGUUAGGGUAAAAAUCAGGUUCUAUCUUUAUUUCACUUGAUUAUUAUUAUUUUUCUAUUCCUUUAUAAGUUAUGAAAUGUAUUUCAUAAAUGUUAGGAUAGAUGGUCAUAAUGUGAUGAUCCAGAAUAUAUGUUUAUUAUUACUAGUAUGUAUUCUGUUUAGAGGGGGUACUUUUGUAAUUUUCUACUCCAUGUGAAAUUUGAUUGUGUUUGACUUUUGGAGACUAAAAUCUUCUGAUUUUUUUUAACUUGUUUGAUUUGAAGAAUAUAAGAACUUUACUAACAAAUCAGAUUGUGCAUUGGUUUAAAGAAAAUAGUAACUUCACCAAUAUGUUAAAUGCUUUGUUUGAAUGAAUGUUCUGACUUGAAGAGUAAAAAAUCUGCGUAGGAAUAUUAAGGCUAAAUGAUUUGAAAGAUAUAAAAUCUUCAUCUUUAUCUAGAAACAAUGUUGUAUUUGAGGUUUCUGGAGAUUGAAAAAUUUCUGGUUUACUACUUUGUCUGAAUGUGAAACUGAUUCCAAGAAUAUAAAAACUUCAUCAAAAUUCAAGAUUUUUUCGGUUAACGAUUAGAAAAAUAUAAAAACUUCAUUGUUAAAUUGGAAACAGGUUGUAUAAAGAUUGAAUCUUUAUUUUUAGUAUUCUAAAUACUAAGUGGUCUGUCUAGUUGUGAUAGAAAGUAAAAAAAAAACACUACUAACAUAAAAUUAGUGAUUUUUGUGCUUGCAAUAGGUGUUUCUAUGGAUUAAAUCUCCAAAAGAAGAUUUUGUGUUAUCAAUGUAUAUUUUGAUGAUAUACAAGUUGAAUGAAUGGAAACAAAAUAUGUGGAAAUAAUUUCGAGUACUUGAAAAUAUUUUUGAAAACAUAUUUAAAAUGUGGGGGUUCUUCAUUUGUGAUAAAGACAAUAUUAGAUUUACCCACGAAAUUUUUGGAGUAUAUUUGAUAUUGCGGUCGUUGAGUCUUUCUUUACCAGUAUAUGAUAUGAAUAGUAUAAAACUACAAAAUUAUAUUACUCUUUCAAAAGAAUUGUAUUCUUUGAUGAAAAAGAGUCACUUGGAUAUUAUGGAAAGGUCCUUUACAAAAGACAUCUGGCAAGGUGUUGACUCUAAAACAAUGUUUGCAUUUGACAAAGUUAUAACAAGUAACGAACAAAAUAUUUGUAGGAAAAUGCUACCUCGCAGAAGGUUUUUCCAAACCAAGUAUUUCUAAUUGUUCUGACUUAAACUGAUCAACUUAGAAGUUUUGCCUAACUCCUAGUGCAAAUGUCAAGUAUGUGUUGUUGAAAAGAAUUUCAGUCCCUUAGAAUUGAUUUACACUGACAUUUUUUAUAUGGAGUCAAUACCAUCUCGUAGUGGGAAAAGUGUUUCAUAAAUUUUAUUGACAAUUGCACUAGACAUUGUUAUGUUUCUUUGCUGAAUAAUAAGGAUAAAGCAAAAGAAACAUAUAAGCAAUAUAAAUUUGAAGUUCAAAAUUAGUUAGAUAAAAUAUUGUCAUGAUUAGAAGUGGUAGAUGUUGAGAAUAUAAAUCUUCUUUUGCAUAAAUAUAUUUGCAAAAUGGAAUCAUCCAUCAAAUUACUUCACAUACUCACCUCAAUCUAAUGAAAUUGUUGACAGAAAAAAAAAUUUGAACUUUGAAUGAAAUGUUGAAUUGUCCUAUUAAUAAGUUUAGGUUUACCAAAAAUAUUAUGGGGGAUGCUAUCAUUAUAGCAAAGAUAACAAGAAAAAGUUUAUAUGUUCAGAAAGAAAGAUACAAAAAAAAUGUUUGUCAGUAAAGAGAGUAACAAAUAAAAAAAUUUAUUGUUAAGAAAGGGAGCAAGAAAAAGAUGUGUUUGUUCAGGUUUAAUUGUAUCCUGAUAGAGAAUUGUUUGUCGCCCCUUAAAGUAUAUACAAUCAAUAACACCUUUGAAAAUAGUGAUCUAACAAUUUCCAAUACAAUUUAUUCCAUAUGAGAAAUGGGAAUAUGGAAACUAUUUCCAAACGGGUCAAAAUAGGACCUAUGAUUGUGGACCUACAAAUAUUAAAGCAUGUUGGAAUGCUACAAGUGUUGGUAGUUCUAUAAAAGUUGGUUUUUACAUGGCAUGCAUAUUUGCCUUGCACCAUUACAAGUGAUUAAAGUCACUAAUUUGGUAGGAUCCAUGUGGUAAUGGUCGUUGUUUUACAACACUCCCCCUUAGAUGUGUAUAUAAAUGAAAAGUUAAAAAUAAAUAUACAUAGACAUUCAAAAUAUGCUUUACUUGAUACCUCAUUAAAAAAAAAUUUAGGAAAACUCACGGGACAAAACCUAGACUAAGGAAAAAAGAGUACAACGCAUAUUUUACACUCUCUGAUAAAGACCAUGAUUCAGAUGCUUAAGUCUGCCCAUUCCAAUCUUUUGCACCAUAUUUACAAGAGUUGAGACAGGUAAAGAUUUGGUGAAUAAAUUUGUUGGAUUAUCACUUGAAUGAAUUUGUCGUAUAUCAAUAUCACCGUUCUUCUAGAGAUCAUGUGUAAAGAAUAAUUUCAGUGAAAUAUGCUUCAUUCUAUCUCCUUUUAUGUAGCCUCCUCUUAAUUGAGCUAUGUAUGCAGCAUUUUCUUCAAAACCACUGUGGGUACCUUGACAUCACACUUCAAAUCACAUCUUUCUUUUAUGAAAUGUAUCACUAAUCUCUACCAUAUACAUUCUCUACUAAAUGUUCAAUUUAUAGACCAAGACAGUGUUUUGUCUUUCAAAGAUCUUUCUAUCUCAAAUUAUUUCUUUAGAAAUUCAAUUGGAUUUUUGACCUCUUCUAGAGUUCCAAUGAUAUUAAUUUCAUCAACAUAAACUGCAAGAAUAACAAACUCUGACGUUGUUUUCUUAAUAAAAAUUUCAAGGACAAAUGACAUUAUUUAUAUAAUUUUGUUUUGUCAAGUACUCACUGUGGCGAUUAUACCACAUGCAUCCUGAAUAUUUUAAGUCGUAUAAUGACGUUUGUAAUCUGAUUGAACACAUUUCCUGAGUUUUUGAACCAUAUAUUUCAGGCAUUUUAAGUCCUUCUGAAAUUUUUAUAUAAAUUUCAUUAUCAAAUGAAUCGUAAAGAUAAAUUGUGACCAUAUCCAUCGGAUGUAUUUCAAGAUUUUCAUGAAAAGCUAAACUGAUGAGAUAUCAAAAAGUUAUUGCAUCCAUAACUGGUGAAUAUGUUUCUUCAUGGUCAACAUCAGGUCGUUGAUAGAAUUCUUGCGCAACAAGGGGUGCCUUGUAUCUUAUAAUUUCAUUUCUCUUUCGCACAAAAAUGCAUUUAUAGCCAAUCGAUUUUACAUCAAUUGGGGUUUGGACUACAGAUCCAAAAACGUUAGGUUUAGCAAGUGAGUUCAAUUCUAAUUGAAUUGCCUCUUACCAUUUUGGCAAAUCACAUCUUCAUCGACAUUCUAUGACAAACAAGGGUUCAAGAUCCUCAUUGUCUUACAUAAUGUUAAGUGAGACAUUAUAUGCGAAAACAUUUUCAACUAUAAUUUUCGAUCGAUCUAAACUAAUCCUAUCACUAGUAGAACUUAUUGAAAUUUCUUCAUUCACUUGAAUCUCGGGUUCACCGAUCUCUUCUGGAAUAUCAGGAUUAAUCAAAUCAUGAAUAUUUUAGUGAGAUUCUUUUGCAGUGUCAUUUUUCAUACUUCUUUUUCUAGGAUAUUUAUCCUUUGAACCCAAUGAUCUGCCACACUUCAAGAGUGUUUGUGUUUCAGAAGCCAUGACACUUGUCGAUGGUCCUUUUGGGACGUCAAUCCAGAUAGACACAUUUACUGCAGAAUAUGUGACUUUGUUAUCCUUUUCAAAUUAGUAAAGCCGUAUGGCAUUUGAUUUGCUAUUUUUUGCAAAUGGAUGAUCUUCUGGACCUCCUGGUCACACAUGGGAAACGUGGGUCAAAAUAAGAUAAUUAUGAAACUUUUAAUGCAAUUUCACUUUUAAGUUUCUUUUUCUCUCUCAUUAAUUGCGGAAAAUUCGUUUCAUCAAAUCAACAAUCUGCAAAUCUUGCAGUAAAUAAAUCUCCCAUCAUUGGCUCAAGGUAGAGAAUUAUGGAGGGUAAAUCAAAUCCAAUAUAUAUGCCUAACCUUCUUUGAGGCCCAUCUUAGUGCGUUGCGGUUGUUACUGAACAUAUAAGUUGUUACUGCACAUAUAAAGCACAUCCAAAAAUUUAUAAAAUGAGCAAUAUUUGGUUCAUGACCAAAUACUAAUUAUGAAGGAGAGUAUUUAUCAUAAUGAGUCGGUCUGAGAUAAACAAGUGAUGUUGCAUGUAAGAUAGCAUGGCCCCAUACAAUAGUGGUAACUUACUUUACAUAAGUAGAGGUUUUGCUAUCAAUUGUACGCGCUUAAUAAAUGACUUAGCAAGGCCAUUUUGAGUAUGAACAUGAGCUACAUGAUGUUCAACUUUUAUCCCUAUUGAUAAGCAAUAAUCAUUAAAAGCUUAGGAUGUGAAUUCUCCAGCAUUAUCAAGGCGAAUUGUCUUAAUGGGAUAAUGUAAAAAUUGCGCUCUUAAUCGUAUUAUAUUGUACAAAUAAUUUUGCAAACGCCACGUUGCAAGAUGAUAAGAGGCACACAUGAGACCAUCUUGAAUAUGCAUCUAUUAGGACCAUAAAAUAUCUAGACAACUCACUAGAUGGGUGAAUAGAUCCAUAGAUAUCCUCAUGUAUACAUUUUAAAACUUGAGGGGAUUUAAUGUUAACCUUAAUUGGUGAUGGCCUAUCAAUUUGUCGUGAUAACAAGAAGCACGUGAAAAUUCAUCACACAUAAGAAUCUUCAGGUUCUUUAAUGAUAUCCAUUUGAGUUUCCAAUGAUUCGUCUCAUCAUUAUUGAUCUAGGAUGACCUAUUCAGACAUGCAAAAGCACAAUAGUUUUUCAGUCAGUAAACUUCUGGUUCACGAUAGAAUGUUCUUCAACUAUAGUUUUUACAUAAUAUAAUCUAGAAGAUAAUGUUGAUAAUUUAUUCAACAUAUAUUUUUUAUCUUAGACAUUUUGAUAAUAUCAAGGUACUCAACAUUUAUUUCAUUGAUCGUCUCAACAUGAUAUCCAUUUCGGCGAAUAUCUUUAAAACUUAACAGGUUUCUUGGGGAUUUAGAAGAGAAAAAUACAUCUGCUAUAAUAAGUUUUGUCCCCGUAGGCAGCAAGAUAAUAGUUCUUUUGGAGCCUUCUAUUAAGUUCAAACUAUAAGAAAUUGUAGUAACAUUUCCUUUUCUUCUAAGCAAGUAAGAGCAGUAUUUCUCAUUUUUUAAUAUGUCGUGGGUUGUUCCACUAUCAAUUACACAAAUAUAUUCAUGGUUGAUCAUUGAUUCAAACGAAGUUUGGGGCAUAUCCAUAUUUUCUUGAUAAAUAAAUUUAAACAAAGUAAAAUAUUACUAUUAAAUAAGGCUAUUAUAUUUACAAGAUUAGAAAAAUACAUACAUACCAACUAAUACAAACAAACAGAAAAAGAGAUUAUCUAGAUUAUCGCGGGAUCGCCAUUGAUCGUUUGUCCUUCAGGGAAUACAAAGAAAUCAGCUACAUUUAGAAGCAUACGGUCAACAUUUGCUUUUGCAUUACUAUUCAUCUUAUGCAUGGGUUCAACAUUAUCUUUGAGACAUAAAGUUUGCAACUAGAUUAUAAUUAUCCUUUUUCAAGGAUGCCUGAUAGAGCUAAACCAGACGCUUAGAUGAUCAGCAAGUAUGCGACCAGUGCCCCAUUCCUCAACAUCUAAGACAUAUACUUUCUGAAUUUUUCUUUUGUAUACUUCUUGUCUUUCACCUUUCCUUUUAUAUUGCUGGUCAUUUUUAGGUGCAAGACGACCAUCAUGAUUAUAAUUUAUUUUACGAUCACGAUCGAUCAUGACCGGAGCCAUGACCACGAUAAGAGCCACGACCUCUUUCUAAUUGGUGACAAUUUGUCUAAUUCACUUCACGAAGUGGCAUAGAAUCAACAUAUCGACUUCCAUGAUUUUUUAUCAAAAUAUCGUUAGUUGUUCUGCAAUAAGAAGAUGUGAAAGUAAUUCAGAAUAUUUUUUAAAACUCAUUUCUUGAUAUUGCUACUGCAGGAGCACACUAUAGGCAGGAAAUGUGGAGUAUUUUUUCUCAAGCUUAUCAUGUUCAAUGACCUCUUUUCGGCAUAAAUUUGACUGUGAUAUAACUCUAUGCAUGGAAUAAUAUUUUAAAGUCUAUUAACCUCAAAUUAGACCAAUCAUGAUACACCUGUGGAAAGAUGACCAACUUCAGGUGGUCAUAUCUAUCUUUUAAUUUUUUCCACAAUACAAGGAGUCUUUAAUAGUGAGGUAUUGCUAAAUUAGAAAUGUGUAACUUGGCCACUAAUUGUCAAGUGUUGGUAGUUCUCUAAAAGUUGGUUUCCACAUGGCAUGCAUAUUUGUCUUGCACAGGGAAGGAUCUACGUGGCCACGUGGCACCUAGUGAUUUCGGAAAAAACAUUGUAUAUAUGUGUAUAUAUGCAUAUUAAUUGCAUAUAUAUUAGUUUUCCCAUCUGUGCUGCGAAAUAGCUUAGCUGGUAAAGGAGGAGAUCACCCACCUAGGCUAUGCAGAUUUGAAUCUGGCCAUCAACACUUCCUUUUUGUCUUGCUCCUUUUUUUUCUUUACUUUUUUUUCUUUUCUUUUUUUCUAUACAUUCUUAUUUAUUUAUGACUAUUCUUUAUUAAUUCAAUUGACCCUUUUUUUUCCUUUUUUUUUUACAUUUGUUCUUAUUUAUUUAUUACUAUUUUUUAUUAAUUCAAAUUGACCCCUUUUCAUAAUUAAUUUUGAGUUUGUUUUAUUUUCUCUUGCACUAAUUAUUAAUCUCUUGAUAUGAGUAUAACGUGUUUAUUUUUUUAAUCAAUUAGUGAGUACAGAAUUAUGAGCAUCAAAUAAAUAUUAUGAAGAAUAUAUUUAAAUAGUAAUUUUAAAAAAAAACAUAAGUUUCAGAAAUUAUUUUUUUUAAUUUAAAGGUUCUUGCGAUCUUCAUCGACAUUUUUGCUAUAUAAAUGGCUAAACUGAAAGUACAAUUUUUAUUCUUUCUCAACUAUAUGCUUCCAAUAACACAUAAAGUCAAUGGAAGAUGAAUAUAUUAUGUUAAUACUAUUAGAUGGUUUAUACAAGCUCAAAUUUUAAUGUGAAAAAUCUUUUUUUUCUUAAAAGUUUCAGUGAAGACGACAUCAAAUUCCAAAAAAGAAAUAAAAUUGAAUUGUUUAGUUAUAUCUAAUCACAUAAUAUCUAAAAGAAAAUAUUAUUACAUGCAUUUUUGAUCGAUUCAUUUAUAAAAAUAAAUAAAAUUAAUAACCUGAGUUGUAACCCAAAAUUAAAGCAACCAUUCUUUCAUCUUACUUGAACGUGUGGCACCCCCGACCUCCAAAUCCUGGAUCCGCCUAUGAUCUUGCACUAUUACAAGUGAUAAAAGUCACUAAUUUAGCGGGCUCCACGUGAUAAUGACCAUUGUUUUACGAUAAGAGAAUCAAAAUGACAUAAAAAUGGAAAGGAGAGAAAAAAAAUGACGGAAGAAAAGACAAAAAUAAAAGAGAGAAAAUAAUGGAAGAAAAGAGAAACAGAAAAAAAAUGUAAUGACGGAAGAAGGAGUAUAAAGAAAUAAUGUAUUUUGUUAUGUGGAGUGAUAAAAAUAAUGUCAUUUACAGUAAGAGUACAUAUAAUUCCAUAGCUAUUAAGUCGUAACUAAUAUAUUAUAUUAUAUUAUUUAUGUAAAAUGACCCCUAAAUAAACUGUAUACAAUUUUUUAAGGUCAAAUACAUAUCGAUACAUGUUUUAUAUACCUAGAUACUUCUAUUUUACUACUUGAUACGUUAUAAUAGGGAGAUAGACGAGAAAAUAUAGGAGGGAGACGAGCGAUAUUUGUCUAUAUACCACAGAUACAUGUAAAUCAUACUUGAUACAUACACACUAGAUACAUGUACUUGUAUGUAUCUAAUGUGAUUUGCAUGUAUCUGUAUAUCAAACACGUGGGAAAGUGGCAAGCGAGAUUUGUCAAAUCUCAGAUCCAUGCAAAUCCACUUAGAGUAUCUAGAAUAAAUUACAUCUAAUUUUGACCUUUGGACAUAUUUGGACACACCAAAUUCUGAUAAGGUUCGUACUAUUGCAAAUUAACGUGUAUUUAAGUAAUUAACUUCUAGACUAAUACAAUUUCUAUAAAUUACUCUAAUUUAAUUAAUUGGUCAAUUCGUCCCAUUGUAGAGAUGUACUUAGGGGAGAGCCGUCAUUUUCACAAUACAAAGUAAAUAAAGUAUGUCCUUUCAAUUAGUGUAGGAUUUCAACUCUUAACGCAUAUCAAGUUUGUUGUCAAUCUGUGUUAAGAAAAUCAGAAAUUACUGGUUGUAAUAAAUUAUUCAGAAACACGAAGUAACAAAGAUUUUUAGAACCAGUAAAUAAGAUGAACAGAAAUUUAUUUGUAAAAAAUAAUUUAAUCUGUAAAACUUACCAAAAUCUUGAAUACUCUUUUUGAUAAUUUAGGAAGAAAAUCAAGUCCACUGAAUUCACAGUGUCCCCUUAAGGAAAUUAUUCCCCUCUAGUAUCUGAGGUUUGAUUUGGAAUAUAACCUCCCAGGGUAAAAUGAUCUUAAUCAGUAGAGUACAGAUACCAAAAACUCUAUUGUCAGCGAAUCAAUCCACAACAGGAAAGUACACGAAGAAAAAUGUGUUUUUUUAAGAAGAAGGAAGAUCAGAAAAUUUGUAAGUCAAUAUUCUGAAGACUGAAUGGUAUUUAUAGGCAAGAAUAAUAUAUUCUGAAAGGUUGCAACCCUUUCAGAAUUGACACAACCAUUAAUGAAAGGUUGCAAACUUUCAAAUGGUAUUGACUGUUCCUGAAAGUUGCUACCUUUCAGAAUAGUGGCGGGAAUUUUUUUAAAUAUAAUGGAAUUUAAAAUGGGUCACGCGCGUGGAUCCGAGUCGGGUCGGGUUAACUAAAAAGUUGAAAACAUUUCGGUUAAUUUCUGUUAUCAACUAAUUGAAAAUAAUUUUUUGCCAUUUAAUUAAUUAAAUAAAUAAUUAAAAUAAAUUUGUCCAAAAAAUUAUCUCUCGAUCGAUCAUUUGCCAAAGCCGAAGCCAAAGCCGAAGCCGAAGCGAGCGAGCGACGACGACGACGGCGAGAGGGGGUUCCCUCUUUCCAACCCUUUUAAUAAUUAAUAGGAGUGUUUAUUUAUUUAAACUCUCCUAUUUUUAUUUCCAUUACCGAUGAGGGACUAUUGCCUUUUUUAUUAAAGCAUUAGAGGACUUUUCAAGUUCCCAACCUUUCAAGUUCUAAACUUUUUCAAAUUCCUCUCCUUCCCUCUAUUUCCCAUCAAUUCUUGCUCCAUACCCAACAAUCCCCCACAUUGAUGGGGAAUAGUUAUAACAUAGGAAUGCACGGACAAUUGUGUACUUUACAAGCAAGGAUUAAUUGCAUCUGGAUAAGUAGGUUUCCCCUUGGACUUUUCAUAGUGAACAUAUGUCGGAUAUACUCGAUCAAUCGAUAGAUGUGAUAUCUUUGAACCGUCGAACUUUGGUGUAUACCUAGAAAACCAUAUGUCACACAAUUAACCCUUUACUGUUUAUGAUUCUUACGGUUGUGUUCGUUUCAGCCAUGAACACAUCCUAGUUUCAUGAGUGUAUAGAGAAUAGGCUUUUGACAUAAAAUUCUCUUUGAAGUGGCUUCCACUUCACACUCACAUAGGUGAUUUCUAACCGUGUCAUCUCGUAGAUACACUAUUUGGUCAAAUCUACCAAACUUAACAAAUCAUUAAAAACUUUAGCUUUAUUACCUCAUUAACAAGCCUUAAAGUUUUAACCUUUUCCUGAACAUUGUCUUCAUCAUGAGAAUGGAUUGAGUUAUGACAAUGUCGAACCGUCAGCCACAACUUUGUUUUUCUCCUUGAAUCUAGCUCUUGGGAUCUACAGUCCACUAGAUAGAGUUACCGUCAUGCUGACUUGUCCUAAGCCGUAAACCCAUUCCCUUAGAUGAUAUUUCAACUGUCUCUCUCACUAGGCCUUUCGUUAGUGGAUCUGACACAUUAUCGCUUGACUUUACAUAGUCAAUUGUGAUAAUUCCACUAGAGAGCAGUUGUCUUAUUGUGUUAUGUCUACAUCGAAUAUGACGAGACUUCCCGUUGUACAUAACGCUCCCUGCCCUACCUAUUGCUGCUUGACUAUCGCAAUGUAUGCAAAUUGGUCCAACAGGUUUGGGCCAGAAUGGAAUAUCCUCUAGGAAAUUCCGAAGCCAUUCCGCUUCUUCACCAGCCUUAUCCAAAGCAAUGAAUUCAGAUUCCAUUGUGGAGCGAGAAAUACAUGUCUGUUUGGAAGAUUUCCAAGAGACAGCUCCUCCACCAAGUAUGAAUACAUAACCACUCGUGGAUUUUACAUCAUUUGACCCGGUGAUCCAAUUUGCAUCACUAUAUCCUUCAAUCACAGCAGGAUAUUUAUUAUAAUGCAAAGCAUAAUGUUGUGUCCAUUUUAAAUAACCCAACACACGUUUCAUAGCCAUCCAGUGAGUUUGAUUCGGAUUACUAGUGUACCGACUCAGUUUACUAAUAGCACAUGCUAUAUCUGGUCGCGUGCAAUUCAUAAUAUACAUCAAACUUCCCAACACUCUGGCGUAUUCUAAUUAAGAGUCACUUUGACCUUCAUUCUUUUUAAAUGUACAACUUAAAUCAAUUGGAGUUUUGAGUAUAUUGAAAUUCAAGUAAUUGAACUUAUCCAAUACUUUUUCAAUAUAAUGAUAUUGAGAUAAUGCUAGUCCCUGGAGAGUUUUGAUAAUCCUGACCCCUAAGAUCAAAUCAGCAACUCCUAAGUCUUUCAUAUCGAACUUGCUGGACAACAUGCGCUUAGUAGCAUUUAUAUCGUCAAUUUCUUUACUCAUUAUUAACAUGUCAUCAACAUACAAACAAACAAUGACUUCAUGAUUCAUAACGUUUUUAAUGUAAAUACAUUUAUCACAUUCGUUAAUCUUGAAUCCAUUUGCCAACAUUACUUGAUCAAAUUUAGCAUGCCAUUGUUUGGGUGCUUGCUUGAGUCCAUAAAGUGACUUCACAAGUCUGAACACUUUCUUUUCUUUACCAGGAACUAUAAACCCUUAAGGUUGUUCCAUGUAAAUUUCUUCCUCUAACUCUCCAUUUAAGAAGGUUGUCUUUACAUCCAUUUGGUGGAUUUUAAUAUCAUGCACUGCUGCUAGUGCUAUUAACAUCCUAAUUGAUGUUAUCCUUGUUACUGGAGAGUAUGUGUCAAAGUAGUCCAGACCUUCCUUUUGUCUAUACCCUUUGACUACCAGUCUAGCCUUAUAUUUGUCAAUAGUCCCAUCAAGUUUCAUUUUCCUUUUAAAGAUCCAUUUUGAUCCUAAAGGUUUAUUUCCUGGAGGAAGAUCAGUCAAUUCCCAAGUGUGAUUGCUUAAAAUUGAGUCAAUCUCACUAUUGACUUCUUCUUUCCAAUAAGUUGACUCUGAUGAAGACAUAGCUGCUUUAAAGGUUUGAGGCUCAUUUUCAAGCAAUAGUGCUACAAAAUCUGGUCCAAAAGAAACAGAUUUUCGUUGUCGAGUACUUCGCCUAGGUUCCUCACUAGUUAGAAUAUUUUCCAUUGAUUCUUCUCGUGGUCGUUUAAGUCUUUCACUUGUUGACUCACUUUCAGUUUUAUACGGAUAAAUGUUUUCAAAAAACUCCGCAUUAUCUGAUUCAAUUAUCAUUAACAUGAAUCUCAGGAUUAUCAGAUUUGUGAACCAAAAAUCGACAGGCUUUACUAUUCACAGCAUACCCAAUAAAGACACAAUCUAUUGUUUUGGAUCCAAUUUUAACCCUCCUAGGUAAAAGAACCUCUACCUUGGCUAAACACCCCCACACUUUGAAAUAUUUCAAGUUGGGUUUUCUUCCUUUCCACAACUCAUAUGGAAUUGAUUGUGUUUUUCGAUGGGGUACUCUAUUGAGUAUUUUAUUAGCUGUAAGGAUGGCUUCCCCCCAAAGAUUUCGCGGUGAACCAGAAUUGAUCAUUAAGGCAUUCAUCAUUUCCUUUAAUGUUCUGUUCUUCCGUUCUGCCAUACCAUUUGACUGUGGUGUAUAAGGUGCAGUAGUUUGAUGAAUAAUACCAUAUUCCAAACAUAUCUCUGCAAAAGGAGAUUCAUAUUCUCCACCCCUAUCUCUCCGAAUCAUUUUUAUCUUUAGAUUCAAUUGGUUUUCCACUUCAUUUUUGUAUUGCUUAAAUGCAUCAAUUGUUUCAUCCUUACUAUUAAGCAAAUAUACAUAACAAAAUCGAGUGCAGUCAUCAAUAAAAGUUAUAAAAUACUUUUUCCACCACGAGAUGGUGUUGACUUCAUAUCGCAUAUAUCUGUGUGAAUUAAGUCUAAAGUUUUAGAAUUUCUUUCAAUAGACUUGUAAGGAUGUUUAACAAACUUACUUUCCACACAAAUUUCACAUUUCGACUUAUCGCAUUUAAAAUCAUUCAAUACUUCUAGAUUAACCAAUUUUCGCAAGGCUUUGUAAUUUACAUGUCCCAAACGGGCAUGCCAUAAAUCACUUAACUCCAAUAAGUAAACAGAAGCAGAAUUUUUAUUAAUACUGUCAAUAACCAUUACAUUUAGUUUGAAAAGACCCUCAUUGAGGUAGCCCUUUCCUAUAAACAUUUCAUUCUUACUUAUUACAGCUUUAUCACUAACUAGGACACACUUAAACCCGUUCUUAACGAGUAGUGCAGCAGAAACUAAAUUCUUCCUAAUAGUAGGAACAUGCAGAACAUUGUUUAAAGUCAACACUUUGUCGGAUGUCAUUUUCAGCAUUACUUUCCUAGUUCCUGCAAUCCUUGUUGUUGCUGUGUUUCCCAUGAAUAAAUCUUCAUCGUACUCAGUAGGAGUGUACAUUGCAAAGGCUUCUUUUGCAGAGAAAAUAUGUCUAAUAGCACCUGAGUCGAGAAACCACUCCUUGGGAUUUGCAACUAAGUUACACUCUGAUAUCAUUGCAUACAAGUCAUCUGCAUCUUCCAUCUUUUCCACGAUGUUUGCUUGAAUUUUUCCUUUGCCUUUGUUUUUGUCCUUUCUUGGAGCAUGACAAUCAGAAGAUCUAUGACCAGCCUUGCCACAAUUAUAACAGUUGCCUUUGAAUUUCUUCUUGGCCUGUUCUGACUUCUGCUCGUUGGACUUCUUUCUCUUUUUGUCUUUGGUAGGAGCUUCUUCAACAAUAUUAACUCCAAUUAUUGUUGAACUCUUACGUGACUUCUUUUCGGCAUUUCUGUUAUCUUUCUCAAUCUUGAGACGAAUCACAAGAUCUUCAAGCUUCAUUUCUUUACGCUUGUGCUUUACAUAAUUCUUGAAAUCAUUCCACGAAGGAGGCAACUUCUCGAUCAUUGCAGCCACUUGAAAAGCUUCAUUUACUACCAUAUCUUCAGCAAUCAGAUCAUGGAGAAUAUGUUGAAGUUCCUGCACUUGUGUUCCAACAAUUUUACUAUCUACCAUUUUAUAGUCUAAAAACUUUGCGACCACAAAUUUUUUCAAGCAUGCAUCUUCUGUCUUAUAUUUCUUCUCAAGUGCAUUCCACAACUCUUUUGAACUUGUUAUUGCACUAUAGACAUUAUAUAAGUCAUCCUCUAAAGCACUCAAAAUGUAACCUUUACAUAGGAAGUCUGACUGUUUCCAUGCUUCAACAAUCAUAAAUUUUUCCCUGUCUGGCAUAUCAUCAGCAGAUACUGGAGUAUCUUCACUUGUAAAUUUCUGCAGACCAAGAGUGGUAAGCCAGAAAAAUACUCGUUGCUGCCAUCUUUUGAAAUUCACACCUGUGAAUUUACCCGGUUUCUCUGCUUGUGAUACAAGAGUUCGGGUUGGAAGAAAAUGAUCUUAAUCAGUAGAGUAUAGAUAUCAAAAACUCUACUGUCAGCGAAUCAAUCCACAGCAGGAAAGUACACGAAGAAAAAUGUGUUUUUUUAAGAAGAAGGAAGAUCAGAAAAUUCGUAAGUCAAUAUUCUGAAGACUGAAUGGUAUUUAUAGGCAAGAAUAAUAUAUUUUGAAAGGUUGCAACCCUUUUAGAAUUGACACAACCAUUAAUGAAAGGUUGCAAACUUUCAAAUGGUAUUGACUAUUCCUGAAAGUUGCAACCUUUCAGAACAGUGGCGGGAAUUUUUUUAAAUAUAACGGAAUUUAAAAUGGGUCACGCGCGCGGAUCCGAGUCGGGUCAGAUUAACUAAAAAGUUGAAAACAUUUCGGUUAAUUUCUGUUAUCAACUGAUUAAUUGAAAUAAUUUUUGGCCAUUUAAUUAAUUAAAUAAAUAAUUAAAAUAAAUUUGUCCAAAAAAUUAUCUCUCGAUCGAUCAUUUGCCGAAGCCAAAGCCGAAGCGAGCGGCGACGACAACGGCGCGAGGGGGGUCCCUCUUUCCAACCCUUUUAAUAAUUAAUAGGAGCGUUUAUUUAUUUAAACUCUCCUAUUUUCAUUUCCAUUACCGAUGAGGGACUAUUGCCUUUUUUAUUAAAGCAUUAGAGGACUUUUCAAGUUCCCAACCUUUCAAGUUCUAAACUUUUUCAAAUUCCUCUCCUUCCCUCUAUUUCCCAUCAAUUCUUGCUACACACCUAACAAAGUUAACGUAAGUAUUUUGCUUGUAGAUAUGAUAUUUAAACUUUAGUCCGUUUCAAAAAUUAUAUAAGGUUUAUCUGAUUAUUUAGAGACGAGUUUGACACUUAAAAGUCAAAUGUCUAAAGUUAAUAGUAAAACGGCAAAAUUUUAUAAAAUUUGAUUGUUCUUUGAAUAACUUUCCUAAAAACGGUUAUUUGUGCACUUCAUCCAAAAUUAACUAAGAGAAGUUUCUACCGAUGUUAAAAUAAAUGAAAAUUAUAUUAUAUGAUUUGUAUAGAAGUCAUUACAUCCUUCAAACAAUUAUCAACUAAUUUAUGUCUAAGUUGUCCUUUGUUUGCUGAAAAUUCCCACAUCGUUUAAUCUAAAACAGGAAGUUGAAGUUCUAAUGUAAAUCAAAAUGCCUAAAAUUUUGUUAAAUGUAUCUUUGUUCAAUAAUUGUUUUUUAACGUGAUUGUAAUGAUACAUGCAUAUUGUUAACGUCUAUAAUAAGAAAUUAUAAGAUUUCUCAUUCAUACCUUGGUGAGUUUAGUGUUGGUAAACUUGUACAACAUAGUCAUUUAUAAUAAUAUCACAGAAGAGCAUGUAAAGCAUCUGCGUAAAGAUGUUAGUCAUAAGUCUAUUGAGUGAAAACUAAAUUAAGAAAACUUUUAUUUUUCAAUGUCAAUUGGAUUUCGAAAACUUUCAUCAUCAUAAUAUCUUACUCUUGAUAUACUUGAAUUUCAUCAUCAUAAUACCUUACUCUUGAUAUACUUGAAUUUCAUUUACAUAUUUCGGUUUUUUAAACCUGUAUAUCUAAAGUUGUCCCAAAAGUAGAUUGGAAAAGGCUCAAAAAUACACCUGAACUAUCAGAAAUAGCUCAGUAUACCCUUAAACUAAAUUCUGGCUCAAAAUAUCCUUCUGUUAAAGUAUUGGGUCACUUUUAUCCUUAUUUUUAACAGAGGUGUGUUAACUGCACCUGGACACCAGGUGGACGCCACAUAAGCAACAAAUAACCUCACCUCCACAUAGACUCAUAAGACCUUAAUAACGAAUUUUUCCCUCAUUUCUCUAAUAGAUAACAAUUUUCACCCAUUCUUAUUUCUCUAAAACAUAAUAUGAUUCCCCUUUCUUUCUCUUAUACGAUUUUCCCUCUCUCUUACACGAUUCCACCUAGGGUUUCACUACACUACUAUGCCUUAGUAAAAUGAGGUGUUUGUUUGAAGUAGUUGAAUAGGAAGAUCACUAUGAUUAAUUAGGACACUUGGUCUAUGCUGUUAAACCAUUCACAUUCAAAUGAUACUUUGUUUACAAAUAAGCAAAUUCACACCUAUUUUGCAAGUAUAAUGGAAACAAACGAUAAGCUUUCAAGUAUAAUAGAAAGAAACGAUAAGCUCUCUGCUCUCUUUGCUCGUUGGCUUCACAUCAACCGACAACAUAUUACACUAUUAUAUAUUAAGAUAAGAAAUCCCAACAGGGCUACGAAUUUGGAAAGAUACAUAUUUUAAUUUAACAGAAAGCAGUACUGGAAUAGCUCUUAACAACAUUACUAGACAGUAUUUGGAUCAAUGAGCUGUUUUUUGGACCAACACAUCUAGGGGUUUUGAACUGGCUCACCGCGCCUCCUAAUCCAACGAAAUGAUCCAAUAUCUUAUGAAAGGUUCCCCUCUUCACAAUCCUCAGUUCAAGUGCUCCAAUUGCAUUCACUUUCCUGGAGCUCACGUAGCCUGCAUCGAGGAACGAUUUGUCCAGACAGUUGCAGCACUCUUGCAAUAUUUCAUCAGUUGCUUCCCCACUCAGUUCCCAGAAGAUGACGUAGUGUCCUGGAUCAGCUGAGACGUUGACAUGGCUGGUGAAGUCCAUCACUUCUAGUUUUUCGUCAACUAAGUGCUUGCCUGCAGCUUCCACGGCUAGUUGCAAAUCUUUCUCAGUGUUCUUGUCUAUAUUAAUGCUCAGCAAAAGGUUCCUUCUGCAGACAAACUGGAGUUCUGGAGUGCCAUUGUGGAAUCCUUUUAUCUUGACAACAUCACCUAGUCUGUAACGAUAUAAACCUGCAUAUA
Molecule: long non-coding RNA, 59586 nt
Filed under: Solanum melongena (eggplant)
Lineage: Eukaryota; Viridiplantae; Streptophyta; Magnoliopsida; Solanales; Solanaceae
Description: long non-coding RNA (SMEL_LNC000193)
Source: RNAcentral